CACACUAUAAAGAUCUAUGCAUGGUCAUAAUGAUAGAAGUGGCUGAGUGUGGGGUAGAGGAGAUCAAACGUCCCAUUGCCUCUUUGGACUCUAUCAUGAGAUUUCCUAAAUUAAUGAAUAAUCCUAUGCUUGAAAAGCUUGAAGGGAAUCCUAAAAAGGUGAGUGUGAGAAAAGCUGCAGACUUUGAUUGUGAGCUCUUAAGAGGUCAAAAAAGAAGGAGAAGAUGGGCCCCAAUAAUGAAGAAAAGGAUAACAGAAUGUGGAUGAUAGUUGUGAUGUAAGUUGUGCCAUGAUAACAAAUCAGGCGCUGCUCGGGAGACAAUCCAAGUUAAGGUAGUUAUUUUAAUUUUUUAGUUUUUCUUUAGUAUCACCUUUAGUUUUGUUUUGGGUAAAAAUUAUGUGUGGGGUCCCGUAGACCUCCUUGAUAGAUAUGAUGCUACUAGCCAGACCUAGAGGUCUCAUGAAGUAUUUUUAUUCUUCAUUCUUUGAUUUAUACUUUGGGAACAAAGUAUGAUUUAAGUGUGGGGUGGAAAUCUUUCGAUUUAUUUAGGAUGAAGUUCGCUAUAGGUUUUUCAUUUUGAUUUAUUUGCAAGUUUCUGACUAAAUUCAAAAAUUUUAAAAAGAUCUUAUCUUUGUUUAUUUUCAGUUUUUGUUGGUUUAUCUGUUUAGUAGAAACAUACUUCUCCCAUCCCUUAAUUUUUCUUUUUGAUUCUUUUUUAAGGGGAGCCCUUCGAACCCAAUAUUCUUUUUUAUUUUUAAGAGUAAUUUUAAAUUUUUUAUCAUUUAGAAUAAAUAGAGAUGUUCUAGCUUGACACCACAAAUGAUUACUUGUUGCAAGUGGUGUUAAAUUCUAUGACAUGAUGUGAAAAAUUGAAUGGUUUCUGUGAGAAACCUAGACUCUUUUAUCUGGCUCUUGUGUUAUUUUGAUUUAAAUUUGGAUUCUUGUGAUUGCUUGAUUGAGAUUCAGCAAAGAUUCUUCUUGAGUUAAAUAUGUGCCAUGUGUGUUGAGGUUUUUGUUACAUUCCAUGUUUGCAAUUGAUGUCUACAACUUUUUUGGUUUGUUUGCAAAGAGAAAUAAAUAAUGUUGAGUUUGAAAGUGAUACAUGCAUUUUUUUGAUAGCCAUGUUUUUAUACCUACUUCAUCUAUCCUUUCUAAAUGAUCUUAGUUAGCUACGUUAAGCCUUUAUCCUAUUAUUUGAUAGCCUCAUAUGUAGCUUAUUCCUUUUUUUUCAGUUCACCUUAAUUUGAUCCAAAACUUCUAAGCACUUUAGUUGAAAAAUUAAUAUUGGUAAGGAGUGAGAAGUGAGGAGGAAGGAAAAACUGAAAAUGAAGCCCCUAAAUAAUAGAUAUAGGUGUAUAUAAAAAGUUUAUGUGUUGUUGGUGAAGAGUAAUAUAAUGAAAAUAACAGUUGAUUAAAAGUGUGCAUCUUGUACUGAUGGCAAAUACUCUCUACUAAAGAUGUGUAAGCUUGCUUAAAGAGAUGGAGAAAAAUAAAAAAGAGGUGGGAAGAUAAAAGUAGUGAAAUAUAUAUAUAUAUAUAUAUAUAUAUAUAUAUAUAUUAGAGAUGAGUUUAAUAUAAAGUGUGAUGUAUUAAAGCACUUAGGGAAGAUAGUUACUGGCCAUAAUAGUUCCUACUUAUUCCUUAAUCCGCAUUUCAACCCUUAAAGUCCUUCUUGAUCUUGAGUUUCGAUAUUCUGAUAUUAGUGGAGUACUAUACUAAGGGCAAGUUUAUGGUUAAUCUUAUGUGACAUGUGAAUUCUUUGUGAGAGUGAGUGAAAUUUGAUUGUUACACUCAUUCUUGUGAUAAAUUAUAUGAUUGUGAAUGGAUAUGAGUUACUCUCUCUUGUCGUGAGGGCACAAAUUUAAUAGUAGCUAGGUGACUUAUAUUAUCUUUUUUUGAGUGAUGUGCAUGAGUUUUCCAAGUUGUUUGAGUCAAUUCUUAAAGCUAUAAAGUCUUGAAGUAGUAUUCAUGUGCUUUAAUUGUAAUGUGGCAUGGCUAAUGUGAAACUUGAUAUUCAUGUAGUCGUUGUAGUUCUAGCUUGAGUGUCUUAGUUCAAGUAGUGAUAUGAGUUUUCUUUGGUUAUUCCUAGUUUAAAGUGUUGUUUGGAUGAACAAGGCUUUAAGUGUGGGGUGGUGAUCUUAGGCGUAUUUAUACACCUAAGUGUCGUUAUCUACACAUGUUUAGCUUAGUUUAGAGGGUAACCUGAUGAUGUUAAUGAAGCAUAAAGUCUUUAUUUGUGUGAUAAGUUACAUGUUUAGAGUGUUUAACGUGUAUUUACAAUAAUUCAACAGUCAAAAUGAUGAAAUAGAGUUUAGACAAGAGAGCUAGUUCGGCUAGCUUACGCUAUAUUUGUUCUAGUGUACUUUGAUGAGAUUUAUUGUAUUGUAUGAACUAAUAUUUGUUAUGUGAUGUUACAGUAAAUCAUUGUAGCAUCUAUAGAAGCUAAUGAAGCCCACAGACAAUCCAGAAUAAAGGGAAACAAGGAACAAAUAGACAAGAAGAAGAAAGCAAAGAUUGGUUGACACCUCUCCUUGUGGGGGCAACUAUGCGCCACACCCUCUAUAGCAUGGGAGGGGGCCUUGCGCCACACUCUCUAUUCUGAGAUCACAAUGGUUGGUACCUGUUAUGGUCCUUCACCUCACCUCCCUUGACUCUUUGAUGGCCAUGUGAUGUACCCUUCCCUUCUCUUUAAAACAAACUGUCUAAAAGUUAAUUUUUGCGUGGUUUAAGUUGAGCGCCAAGUAUUAAAUAUAUGUGAUUCAUCUGGGGCAGAUUAUGAAAGACAUAAGGGACUAUAUAAGGAGUACUUAGCUACAUUUACAAGAGAUCCUUACAACAACACAUAUUUGGAGAGAGGAGAAGGCUUCAAGAGCUCUACAUUAAGGUUUUUUUCCUUUUCCUUUUAGUUUUCUUGUAGUUUUACUUAUGAAUUCAUUAGUGACGAUUAUUUGUAUGAUUUGAGUGGAUAAACACUAUCUUUCUAGGGUUGAUACUACAAACAUGAUUGCUUAGCAUAACAUUACUGUUGGUUAAUGUUAAUUAUCGCAAUAGGCUGUUCUUAUGUUCUUGUAUUUACUAUACUAUUGAUUCACAAUCUUUAGAAUACAUAUAUAUUUCUUUUGUAAGCCCCGAAGGGGUAGCAUUAGAUUAGAACAUAUAACAUAAGAAGUGGGUUUUUAUCUUUCAGGUGAGUUAAAGACUAGAUUCACUAUUUGGAUAAGAACAUAUCUAAUUUGACUCGUUUAACUCAAAUACGAGAUAAACUAUAAAUGCGUUUGAAUUAGUCCCCGCAUUCUUUCUUUACGAUAUAGUUGUGAGGCUAAUUUAAAUAGAUGAGUAGAGGCUCAGAAGACCAUAAUUAUGAUAUUAAUUCUGUGAAUCAACAACCAAGAUAAUUAACUUAACCAAUGAGAUUGGGUAUCUUCGCAUGAAUGUUCAAAAUGCCUUAACCUUGAAACUCUCUGAAUUAUUAUUCACAAUACUUUUAAAUUCCUUUAUUGUUCAUUGUUAUUUUUAGAAUAAUAAAACUCAAACUCUUUUUGAUUACAAAUCACACUCAUUUAAUAUUGACAGUAAUACUUGAACUGGAUUGUUUUCUAAGCAUUAGUUUUUUUGUGAUUGAUAUUAGGCUCAAAAAGGCCACUUUACUUCUUACACAAACACGUGCACUUGCGUGUAUGAUUGGAUGCAACAAGUAUAGGCCUCAGAGUACUGCAAUAUAUUUCUCACACUCUUAUCCUUAAGAGGUGGUGGAGGUUCAGAACUCAACCAUGUUUGUAGGCUACAUAUCGUGAAGCAAAAUACUGUAAAUGAGCCCACCCUGUGGCCAAAGUCACAGACUCUAAAGACUACAAUUAAUGAAAAAGUUAGAUGAAAAUCAAGGUCAAGGCAGACACAAACAUUAUAUGAAAGAUUCAAGCCGAAAAUUCAUGUUUUGGUGGGAUAGUUGGACAGGUAAAGGUGCUCUUGCUAAUUUUGUCCCUGGACUAGGUAAGUCUGCUGAACUCCUGGUCAAUUCCUUUAUCAAAGAUAAUAUGUGGAAUUUUGACAAAUAUAAUGAUACUCUUCCUUAUUAUAUUGUUGAAGAUAUUAGAAAUAUUGAUUUUGGGAUACUAGAGAUCCUAAGUUCCCUAUUUGAAAAUCAACAGAAGAUGGUACUUUCUCUACGAAAUCUACUUGAUAGCUAAUUAGGGAACAAAAGCAGAGAAAUAACCUUCUCCAAAGUGUUUGGCAUGCUAGAAUCCCCUUCAAAGUCUCUUUCUUACUUGGUGGAUGAUUAAAAAGAAAUUUCAUUUUAAGGAUACAGUUAACAGGUGCGGCACUAAUUUCUUUGAUGAGCUCUCUUGUGACAGUCUACUACAAAGUAAGACAAUACAACAUAUUUUUAUUACCAGUGAAGGAGCUAGUAGGUUGUGGAGCAUUAUCGACAACACUCUGUGAAUUCAACACCAUCAAGAUUAGGGGUGGGCAUUCGGUUUGUUCGGUUUGAUUGUUGAAUAUUGGUUCGGUUUUUCGAUUUUCGGAUUGACGAAAAUGAAAAUCAUAACCAAACCAAAAUUAUUUCGGUUUGGUUCGGUUUUUACAAAUUCGGUUCGGUUAUUUUGGAUUUUUAUUUCGGUUUUAAAGAUUAAAGUAGUGAGCAUUUAAAAUUGGUGAUUUUUCUAAAAAAAUAAUCUUUUUUCAAACCUAUUUUUCAUUCCCAAAUAUAAUUAAUUCAACAUGCAUGAAAUAACCAUAAAUAUCGACCUUGCUGAGUCAUCGCAGUUGGCGUGACGGCAGUGGCCGCACUCGGCAGCGACUACCGACGGCAGUGACAAACUGAACAAAUGAACUGAGCAAAUGACUGUGGUUGGCGAUUUUGAAAUUUCAAAUGAAUUGACGAACUGAGGAUGGUUGAACGCUGCUGCAUCCUUCACGUUAAUGUUAGGGUCUAAAGCGAAGCAGUGUAUUAGGAUUUAGGGUUACUAAAUGAUUAUAAUUUAUAUAUUUAUAUGUUAUAUCAGAUUAUAUUAUAUUUUUAGUAUAUUUACAUAUAUAUUAAAUUUUAUAUAUAUAUAUAUAUAUAUAUAUAUAUAUAUAUAUAUAUUAUAAUAUAUUAUUUAUAUAAUUUCGGUUUUCGGUUUAUCCGAAUUCUUUUUAUAUAAAUUCAAAAACCAAACCGUUUAACCAAAUUUCUAAAAUUUGAAACCGAAACCAAUCCGAAAAACCAAACAAAAAUUAAAUUUCGAUUCGAUUUUUCGGUUUUUUCGGUCUAAACCAAAAUAUGCCCGGCCCUAAUCAAGAUGAACCUAUUAUCUCGGUGCUAAAUAGAUAGUGAACCAUUGUAUAUCAAAACAAUAUUCAAGAGAUGAUUUUGAAGAAUUCCCCUAUCUUUAUAUGCUAGGAAAUUUGAAAACAAAGAUGCUCGUGUAAAUAUGAGGGUCAAAGAACUUUUCACUAUACAAGAAUGGAGCACCAAAGUGUCAGGAAUAUUAAGUUUUCUUUGUCCAAGUUGUAUGGCCAACUAAAGCACAAAUUGAAGUGGACUGAUCUUUGUGAACUGACCUAAAAGCUUCAGCAGUGAAAAUAACUAAGCAGGUACAACGGCAACUAUCCCAAAGUGAUAACGCCAAGGUAAAUACUGAUGGAUACUUUAAUUUUGAAAUAAAAUGAGCUGGCAUUGGGGGCAUAAUCAAAGAUAUAAAUGGUGGCCUCAUAAUGGCCUUUUUUAUCCCCAUACAAUACGACAGUAAUAACAUGGCAGAAGUACUUGCGGUGGAGUUUGGAAGAAAAUGGGGUAUCCAACACGGCUAUACUAAUUUCUCGCUUGAACUGGACUCGUUGUUAAUUGUCAAUAUGUUAAUCAAGAAGAAGACCAACAAUCGUAAGAUUUAGUAAGUCAUUCAAAUAAUUGUUAAGAUGAUGGAACAAAGAAAUGUGCAUAUCACUCACAUAUUUAGAGAAAAAAAUCAAGUCGCAAAUUGAUUGGCUAAGUGAGUGUCUACUUCUGGUCAAUCUGAGAUUUUCUACAAUUUUCAGCAGCUUCCUAGAAGUGCAAAAGUUCCAUUUCAACUAGAUAAAUGACAAAUAACAAGUCUUAGGACUAGGUAAGAUGAAGUCAAUUUUUUUGUACGUUGAUUGUACAUAUUUUUUGUUCAGAAGGUGUAGUGUAAGUUUUUGUUAUGUGCCUCCAUCUAUUGUUUGAGGUGUUUGCAUCACCUUUGAGUUGUAAUUGAGGUAUGGUCUAGCCCUCUUUUUUUUUUUUUUCAAAUAAUACAACACAAUUUAAGCUUCAUUGGGUAACUGGAUUACAAAAAAACUACUAAAGUGGGGAGAAUUUUUGUUUUAUAAACAAAUAGGUUAUUGAUGAACUUUCUAGGUCAUUUUUGUUCCUUUUCCUUUUCUCCUUAUAUAGCUCUUCUUUUUUUCUCAGUUUUUUUUUGAGAAGUUGGGGUCUUAAUAGUAAAAGAAAUAUUUAUUUGUAUAUGAAUUGCUUAAUCAUAGUUAUGUGGUAUAUGCAAGCAGGUGAAAGAUACAUGUCUUGCAUUUAUUGAUUUUUUAAAAUAUUUAAUGUGAAUAAAUUUACUUAUACUAUUUCAAUCUUGAUAACAUCUGGUGGAAAAUAAAUUAGUCCAUAAAAAUAUGAUCCAUCCGAUCCAUUCGAAUUUAAGUGAGUUACUACUCUUCCAUUCAUUAAUUCAGAGACAAUUUUGCCACAUGAAAAUUUUUUAUAAAAUAUUUUUGAAAAAACUUUUUAUUAAAAUUUGAUAUAUAGCUAGUAAAAUUUUUUUGUCAUGUAAUUAAAUAAAGCAGGAAAUUAAAACUUGAUAAACUAUUGUUGGGUCGAUUGAGUUAUAGAUCCGUUAAUUUAUUAACUCAAUCUAUUUUGACUCAUUCAAAUUUAAUCGGAUCUGGUCUUAUCAUUUUUAAGUCUUUGGACUUGUGAAAAUAUGAGUAUUCAGUGACUUAAAGUCUUGAAUUUAUCCAUAUUGAAGCCCGACUAAUUUAGAUUCGUGUCUCUCACUAUGAGGGUUAAAGUACUCCCUUUCAAGGGUGAAUCUAUAUUAAGACCUUUGAUUAAGGAUGGAGGAGUACUUACCUUCCACCACUCUUUGAUGAUGUUAUGACAUGUUUUAAAACACGUGUCUCUCUCUGUCACUCCUUUUUCUUAUGCAUAACAAGAACCCUUUCAAAAAGAGUGGGAUCAUCUCUUUUUACUUCACGCCCACCCUUACUAUUACAAUUACUCUUAGUUAAUUAAAAAAAUUAGGACAACAUAAAUCCUCGUAAUUCAAUUGGUUGGUUAUAUGAAUUUUUACUUCUAUACAUUUUCUUCAUUUUGUUUUAUGUGGUACCGUUUGACUUUGCAUGAUAUUUAAGAAAUAAAUGAAUACUUUUGAAACUUGUUAGGUUUUUAAGAGGUGUGAAUGUAAAAUGAAUAGAUUAUUUUUCGAAAAGAAUACAAAAGAAGGAAUGCAAUUUAAAUAGACACCUUCUCAGUUGAAUGGUUAUGACCUUUUCAAUAUGUUAUGACUUUUUCGAAGAGUUGCUUCUUUUCUGAAGAGUUACACCUUUUUUUAUAAAUUCAUUUGCAGAUAAAACUAUAAUUUGUAAUCUAUGGAUUCUUACUCUAUUUGAACUUGAUAGUGAUUUGAAGAUGAAACUUCAUCACGAGUCAAAUUUCAUUCGAUUGAUGAUUUGAAAGAAUAAAAUUUUUAUCGUUGACUAGAAAUAAGUUGUUUAAAAAUUAAUUCCUUAUAAUUAGUAUUCAAAAAUACUAAAGUAUUUGUCAAAGCUUGAAAAGAAAAUGACAAAUGAGACUGAAUAUAAAGUUGAUUCAGUUAUGAAUGGUGUUGUCCCAAUGACAACCAAUAUUGCAGCAUCAAGAUAUUUAGAUGUUGUUCUAGCUUGGCAACGACAGACAAAUUAAAAUUUUUUUUGGGUGUGAACUUUAAAUAAUGAAAGCAAAUAAUGCUCUUUUGGCUGACCAAACUUGAAUUGUAAAGGUUCACAUGUAGAGAUCCUUAUAUUCUUGAAAAAAAAAUGUUUGAAAACCAAUUGUCUGAUUUAAAAGAUCUUGUGAUUCGUCUCUAGAUAGAAGAGGACAAUAAAUUGUGUGAGAAGUCAACAAUAAUGGGUGUAAAACUUGUUAAAGAUAAUGCUACACAUAAUAAAAAGAGGAAAAAGUCUUUUAGACAAAAGAAAGAGAAGAAUAAGAAAAGGUUCAAAGGCAAGUGCUACAAUUGCAGUGAAAUUGGCUCCAAAGUUCUAAAUUAUCAAGUUUUGAAGAAUAACAAGAAAAGAGAUCAGAUAAAUAUGUUGGAAACAACUAUAAUGAUAAAAAAAUUAUGUGUUAUGAUCACUGAAAGCAAUCUAGUUGGAAAUCUAAAUGAAUAGUGAUUUGAUUCUGGAGCCACUAAACAUGUUUGUCCAAACAAAGAAACUUUUUCUACUUAUAAUACUCUUGGUCCAUAAGAAUAAUAUUAAUGAGAAAUAUGCAACAACCAAGAUUGAAGGAAGCAGAAAGAUAUUCUAAAAAUGAUUUUCGGCAACUCUCAACAAUAUUCUUCAUGUUUUUACUUUUAAGAAGAACUUAAUAUCCACAACACUUAUCGUUAAAAAUAGGUUUAAGUAUGUGUUUAUUUUAGAGAAAGUUGUAAUAAGUAAGAAAAAUGUAUGUAGGAAAGGACUAACUCAAUGAGGGCCUUUUCAAACUUGAUGUAAUGAAUGUUGAAAUAAAGAAAGCUGAGGCUUCUUCUUACUUUCUCGAAUCAAAUAAUUUAUGACAUGAACAUUUAUGACAUGUCAAUUAUAAAAUUUUGUAAAAAUUAAUUAGUUUGGAAGUGUUUUCUAACUUUGAGUACAAUAAAUCUAAGUGUCAAACGUGUGUUGAAUCAAAGUAUUCCAAGCAAUUGUAUAAGUCUGUUGAAAAGAAAUUCCAAUUCCUUAGACUUAAUUCACACAAAGAUUUGUGAUAUGAAGUCAACACCAUCUUGUGGUGGAAAAAAGUUUUUAAUAAUCUUUAUUGACGAUUGCACGAGUUAUUAUUAUGUUUAUUUGCUGAAUAGUAAGGAUGAAACGAUAGAAGCAUUUAGGCAAUAUAAAAUUGAAGUUGAAAAUCAAUUGGACAAGAAGAUUAAAAUAAUAAAAAGUGACAGCAAUGGAGAGUAUGAAUCUCCUUUUGUAGAGAUAUAUUUGAAAAAUAGAAUUGUUCAUCAAACUAUUAUCCCGUCCGUAUUCACCUCAAUCUAAUGAAAUUGCAGAAAAAAUUAAAUGUUGAAGAAAAAAAUAAAUGACUUACUUAUAAGUUUAGGUUUACCACAAAACUUGUGAGAGGAAGUUAUCUAUACAGGUAGUCGAAUACUCAAUGGAGUACCUCAUAGAAAAAUACAAUCUAUUCCAUAUGAAAAAUAAAAAGAAAGAAAAUUCAACUAUAAAUUUUUGAAAGUGUGGGAGUGUUUAGUGAAAGUCCAAGUUUUUAUAUCCAAAAGUGUGAAGAUGAAACCAAAGACUAAGAACUGUAUUUUCAUUGAUAGACCACAAGUAGUAAAGCAUGUUGAUUUUUGAUUCAUAAAUUUGAAUGUCUAAAUAUUCAUAAUAAUAUGGUAAUUGAAUCAGAUAAUGCUGAGUUCGUUGAACACAUUUAUCUAUAUAAGAUUAGAUAUGAGUUGUAUCGUAGAGGGUCUAAAUGACCUAGUGAUUAACCAAAGAAGAAUGUACUUAAUAAAGAAAAAUUUAGGCGUAGUAAGCGACAAAUAAUGCCGACUUUCUUUGGAUCAAAUUUUGUAACUUUUCUUCUUGAAAAUAAGCCUCAAAUAUUUAAAAAAACAAUGCUGUCUGCGGACUCAUUCCUUAGGAAAGAGACAAUCAAUAGUGAUAUUUUAUUCUAUCUUGAGCAACCAUACUUAGGAGUUGAUUGAUCUCUCUUUAGGAAAUGAACCUUUAGGUUCUAAAUAGAUUUUCAAAAGGAAAAUGAAAGUUGAUGGUACUAUUAACAAAUACAAGGUAAGACUUAUUGUGAGAGGCUUGAGACAAAAUGUAGGCUGCUAUGUGUAGUUUUGAUGAUGAGCAUCUAACAGCAAAAGAUCGGGUACCUGGAUGUGCAAGAUACAGUACAACUGCUGUCUACAUAGUUUUGUCAUCUUAUGUAACAAAUUUGCAGGUGCUAUUUUGUACUAAUUAGGACAACUGGUUCAAUGAUCUUUUAGCCCUAAUCAUCACUCAACUGUAAAAGGAAAGAGACGUCUCUUCAUCAAUCGGUUUUUACAAAUUCUAAAAAGUUAAGAGAGGCAGCAUUAACCUAUUUUCAAUACUUCUCAAAUUCUCAGCUUUAUGGGUACUUAAAUCAAAAUUGUUCUUGAGUGAGUAAUGAUUUGUAGCUGGACUACUCAUCUAAUAAGAGUAGUGUUUCCUUUUGUUGAGAGAGUUGCUUUGAUAGAGUUGCCUAAGCCAAUUACUGAUUAGAUUUAAUUAGUAGAGAGGGUCCUUGGUAGAGUUUCCAAGAUUAGAUUGUAGUAGAGCUGUUACAAGCGAAAGGAGCCUAGAGGUAGGCUGAAAUGUAGACUGUAAUCAAGAGGUUGAUUGUAGCGGGUUUAUUUGGUUCUUGUGAGGGAAAUUCAUGUUUUUUGUACCUUUCUAGGUUUCCAUAUAAAAAUCUUAUAUUUUUUUCCUUCCUAUAUUGUGUCUUAUUCCCUAGUUAGUUUCAUCCAUUUUGCCUGUGAUUGAUCUUGAAGGACCUGGUCCUUUACUGUGUAGUACAACCCUUAGGGUUUCAACAAUAGGUAUUAGAUCUUGGUCAUUCUAAAAGGUUCACACCUAGAGUGUCUUUGUUAGCAUGACUGCUUCACCUAAUCUAGAAGAAGGACAAUCUACUACUAGACCGUCCAGAUUCAACGGGUAGUAUUAUGGGUGGUGAAAAACUAGGAUGUUUGACUUUAUUAUGGAUGAGGAUUUUGAGCUAAUGGAAAUUAUUUUUGAUGGUCCUCAUGUUCCCAUAAGAGAAGUCAAAGAAGAAGAUAUUACGAGAAUGGUUGUUAAAAAAAGGGAAUUCAAUGAUGAAAAUAGAAAAAAUUAAAAAUAACUAUAAGGCCAAGAAAUUGGUGGUUUGUGGUAUAGGGCCUGAUGAGUAUAACAGGAUUUUUACCUAUGAAAAUGCAAAAGAGAUCUAAGAUUGGUUAAGGACUGAUCAUGAAGGUUCCACUGAUGUGAAGGAUUCAAAAGUUGACAUACUGACUAUUUAGUAUGAAACCUUCACCAUGAAAGAAGCAGAAACCAUCCAAGAAAUACAUACAAGGUUUACUUCCAUCACAAAUGAGCUUCAUUGCUUAGGUGAAGUGAUUCCCUUGUACAAACAAGUGAGAAAAAUUCUUGUUGUUCUUCCUAAGUCCUGGGAAAGCAAAGUGGAUGCUAUAACUAAGGAAAUAAACCCAAAGACCCUCACCAUGGAUAAAUUGAUUGGAAAUAUAAAGACUCAUGAACUUAAGAAGCAGCAAGGUAUGGAGAAUAAUGAUGCAAAACAGGAAAAAUCCUUGGCAUUAAAAGCUUCCAAAUUGGAUUCAGCAGAAGAAGACACUGAUGUUACCUACAUGGCAAGUAGGAUUGUUAGAGGCAUAAAGAUGAGUGGUCAGUUCUAAGGAAGAACAAAUAUCAAUAAAAAGGGGAAGCAGUGCUGAGGUAUGUCAUAAAUGUGGAAGUUCUGAGCAUUUCAUUAAGGACCAUCUAUUACAUAAGGUGGAUUACUAGGGGUACCUCAAGACUGCAGGUGACAAAGGAAAGAAUAGGGACCAGGUCCCUGAAGAUUCAAGAAGGAAGGCUGUAGCUGAUUAUGAAGUAAAGCAAACUUUAAUAGCAUGGGGAGAUUUCUCCAGUGAAUCAGAUGGAUAUGAAAAGACUGGAGAUGUUUUUAUGCUAUCAGUAGAAUAAGGUCUAGUUAUCUACGAUUCCACUCAGGGCAGACACAGAAGAUGAAAAAGAAAAAAAGGUAACUCUAUUUGAUAUUACGGAGAAUCUAGAUAAUUACACUUUUAGGAAAAUAAAAAGGCUUGCAAGUGUGUUGAUAGACUCUGUGUGUUAACUAAAUUCUGAGAAGAAUACCUUAGAAGAAAAAUUAGAGAAUCAAGAGCAUGAGCUGAUUGCUUUAACUCUUAAAAUUUCUAAAAUUAAAGAGUUGUUCACAAAUAGAAAAUCUCAAAAUAUGAGUCUAAUAAGUAAUCUAAGGAAAGUAAAUGGUGUAGAUGACAAAGGGAAGAAGGAAGCCCCAAGGCUUCAAAUUGAUCUUGAGGAGAAACUAAAAGUUUCACAAAUACACAUUAUGUUAGCACUUCACAGGAUUGAAGAAUUAGAAAGGGACCUGAUCCACUUUAAAGAAGAGUUGAACAAGUCUCUUAAGUGGACUAUUUACUCUAUGAUCCUUUAUGACUUGACUAGUCAAGGUGUUAAUGAUGGUAGAGGUUUGGCCUAUUAAAGAAAAUUCUAGCCUGUUGAGUUUAAAGUAAAGGCUGGUCAUGAUGGCAGAAGCAAAGGGCACAAACUCUUGUGCACUCACUGUGGAAGAGAUGGACAUUUGAAAGAAAGAUGUCAGCAUAGGGUUAAGGCAAAAUUAAGAAAUAUUGAAUACAUUCAGUAGGAGAAUGCACAUUUAAAGGGCUUUGAGUCUCUGAAAAAGGUGAAUAGAAAGUUAUCACUGCCUAGAUGGGCUAAGAAGAAUAUGAUCAUACUAUUAUUCUCCUACUAGGAACUCAAACUUAAGUGGGUUCCCAAAUCUCACUUGUGAUCAUGAUUACAGGCAUGGGAAAGGGAUUACCGUUAGGAGUAGCUCUUUAAUUGAAAGGGUUCAAAGACCAAUGAUGGAAGGUCUGACUGUCUUCUAUCUCUCAGGACACUUUAAGUGAAGGUAUCUUAUUGUGAAAGUUGAUAUUAAGGACCUAGUCCUUGGCUUAUGAAAGAUGAUAUUUAAAAAGGGUGUGUGUGUGAAGCUUAGGUUAAAAAGGAAAAGCCCUAGAAUGACCGUUAGAUUUGACUAAUGAAGAUGCUUUAGAGAAUAAAUUGAAAAGGAAUUUUGUGGAUUAAUGAAGGGAAUGCAUGUAGUUCCUGAUUAGUCAGAAAAAUUCUUGAUCCUUGGUGGUGCUAAAAAUGAUGAGUGAAAGAAUGGAAGAUGGAAUUAAGUCUUGAUUCCCAGGGACAUAGUCCCUAGGAAAUUUAUCUUAGAAGAAGAAGUUUCAAUAGUGUGAACAAUGUCAAGUCUAGGAUAUGAUCUUCAGACAUACAUGAGGAACAAACUGUGGAAUAAGAAGGGUGUGCAAAGGCAAAAGGUUAAAGUAGGAUUGAUCUUAUCAACCUGACCUAUCUUGUGAUUUAGUGUUUCCUCUCAAAAUUUUCUAUGCUUAGGAGACAGGUAUCCAUGAUAAGGUUGGUAAAUUUUGGUAUAAAUCAGUACUAUACCUUUGUAGGUCUACAUCCAUGGGGUCAACUUUAGGAGAAAAUAAUUAAAGCAAUCACAAGUUAAGAAUUUACUCAAAAAGGAGAGAGUCCUGGUCCUAUCUCUCAAGUUUGUACCAAAAUAAUGUUCCUUAGAAAUUCAUAAAAUUUCUAUUUAAAAAGGUCAUAUUUUCUCUCCUAUCAGAACAAAAGCCAUCAGUCCACGACAAAUGUAAAGAGUCAUAAAAUGCCUUACCCAUUAGCCUUUCUUCUGAAAUUCCUAAAAUCCUUAAUGAAACUAUUCCAGUUGAACCUCUAAAAAUCUUACUGAUAUAGCUUUGGAUGUUCGUUUAAAUGAAGAAUCUGACUCAUAAAUUGAACAAGAAACUUCUCAAUCAGAAAACCCCCCUUCCUCAGACAAAUAAAAUCCUCUAAUACUCCUUAAAUCAUUAGUCCUUCUAUCCCCUCUAUGUCAAAGCCCAUAUUCUCCCAACCGGUUGAUGAAGAAAUUUCUGUAAAGAAGUAUGAUCCAUUCAGCAACAUAAAUUAGGUAGCUGGAAAUUAUUUUUACUUGGACAUGAUUUCAAGGGAAGUUCUAUAAGUGGGGUAGAGCAAAUAGCAGGAGAAAAUGAUGAUUUUGAAAAGAAAUAGGGAGUUUAUGAUUCAAAAUAUGGCAGUCCUGGUGUAAGUAAGAAGAAACACACAGAUGUAAAAAGAAAAAAGUCUCUGAGGGACCUGGUCCAAGGAAGGGAAAAACUGUGGUUGAAUAAUUAGUAGUAGUCCCAAGAGAAGCAGAAAUGCAGAGCUCAAAAUGAAAGUUGUAGAGUUGACUGGUAAAAUUCAAGGACUUAUUGCUGAAGGAAGGUCCUCACCAAAAAGUUGGAUGCCCAUGUUGCUGAGAGUGCAAGAAUGGAGAUGAUAAUUAAAUCCCUUUCCCCUAAGCCCCCAUCUACCUAAACCCUGUUACCCCCUUUCCCUCAUUAAUCCCAUGUCAGUUUUAUGUUUUAUUCUCUUGUGGUUUUUAAAAUAUAAUUAUUUGUUGAUUUUUUUGGUAUAUGUUAUUGGUACUUAACUGCUUAAAAAUGAAUGAAUUCUAAUUUUCGUGAUUGACAUGUUCUUACUUUUAAAUUCUUUUUUAUAUGUUAGUGUUGCCCCAAUGGCCAUGAGUUAACUAAUCUGUGCCUAUUUUACUCUUGGUUUACUGUUAAUCCUUUUCAAUGAUGCCGAAAGGGCGAAUACUGACUUUAUAUGAAAGGAUUAGGUUACCAAUUACCAGGUGUGUGUUCUUAUAUGGUGAAUGCUGAUAGGGGAAAGUAAUUGAUGUGCUAAGGUAGAAGAUAAGGCACGGUGAUAGAAGGAAGUGUGUAAAUACACUAAAUGAAGAAGUGAUGUGCUAAGGUGGAAGAUAAGACACAAUGAUAUCAUCAAGUGUGCAAAUGUACUAAAUAAAGGUGCAUGAUGAUAUAGGGAAAAAGUCAGAGAUUUUUUCUGCAAAUGCUAAUAAGGGACCAAAUCCCUCUGUUACACGAUGGAGAAAGCAUGAUAAUAGGGGAAACAUUCAUCUUCUGGUGGUAAUCACUCUGAUUAAUAUGAUGAAUGUAUGCUAUGCUCAAAUUGUAUGGUUUGGUUUGUCAUUAUUAAAAAGGGGGAAAAUUGCUAUAUGUAGUUUUGAUGAUGAGCAGCUAACUGCAAGGGACUAGGUCCCUGGAUGUGAAAGAUACAGUACAACUGGCAUACAUUAUCUGCACAAAUUUGUCAUCUUGUGUAAAAAACUUGCAGAUGCUAUUUUGUAAUGAUUAGGACAACUGGUCCAAUAAUCUUUCAACCCUUAUCAUCGCUUAGCUAUAAAAGAAAAGAGAAACCUCUUCAUGAAUCAAUUUUUGCAAAUUCUAAAGAGUGAAGAGAAGCAGUAUAAACCUAUUUUCAACAUGCUUAAGUUCCCAUAUUUUGUGAGUGCUUAAAUUGAAAUUGUUCUUGAGUGAGUAAUGAUUUGUAACUGAACUACUCAUAUUAUAAAAGUAGUAUUUUCUUUUGUUGAAAGAGUUGCUUAGGUAGAGUUGCCUAAGCCAGUUACUGAUUAGAGUUAAUUAGUAGAGAGGGUCCAUGGUAGAUUUACCAAGAUGAGGGUAUCAUUUGAUGAUGAUUGAACUCACAUUGGUUCAAAGAUAAUUGAAGGAGUCAAGGGAAUGUAAAAUAGGGCUAGAAAGACCCUUGGGAGGGACAUGCAGCAAAGGUUCUUUGGAUCUAUCUUUGAUCUACUCUCUUAUUUUAAGAACAGGUCAAAACAGUCUUUAGUUCUCAUGGGAUGCGCCCCCACUACUUCAAAUUUUCUCAAGAAAAUUAGAUGGGUCUUUUCUUGCAAUUAGGUCACUUUUGGGCCCCUAAACGUGUGAUAAUUAGCCCUAAACAAUAAAUACUUGAGAGCCUAGGUUAUUUUCUUUGUUUUGCUUAUUUAUUCAUAAAUGUUUCUCCAUCAAGUGACAGAAUUAGUAAGCUUUUAUUGAAACUUGGAUUAGAAAUGUUGGUUUUGAGGGCGAUCAUAUCUCUCUUAAUCACCAUAAGAAUUGGGUGUUUCAUUAAGGUUAUAAUUGAGGUUAUUAGAGUUUAAUAUACUCUUUUAUUCUUAAUUACUUUUUUCUUCUUGUGUCUAAGUUCUAUCUUUAUGUAUUAUUUUUACUUUUUGUAUCAAUCUUUGAUUUUUAGAGUUUGAUGUUCAUCAGAUGGUUCAUGAACAACAUAAAAGUACUAGGAGCGUUGGUGAGGCAAAAAGGUAUGACCAACCAUUCAUAUAGAUCAAAUUUGGUCUUGAAUGCGCUCUUUCACACAUCACCCAAUUGGCCAAAUUUGGUGUUACCUACUCCUACGAUCUAUCUUAGUAAACACACAAAAACCAUUAAAAUUAUCAAGCGUAUAAUUCAAAUGGGGAAUUGGGUGGUGAUAAUUUAUUGUUAUGUUAUUAGUGACUCGGUAAUCAACACACAUGUGCCAUGUUUUAUCUUUCUUUGGCAUUAGCAACACCGAGACCACACAUGGACGCAUGCUCUAUUUGACGUAUCCUUUGUUGAGGAGUUCCCUAACUUUACUUUGGAGCUCCAUUGUGUCCAUUGGAUUACUUUGAUAGGCUGAUUUGUUAGGUAAUUGAGAACCAAACACAAAAUCAAUUUGAUGUUCAAUUCCUUGAAGUGGGGGUAAUCCUUGGGCUAGCUCCUUUGGGAAUACAUUAUUAAAUUCCUACAAAACAAAAGAAAUUGAAUUGUGAAUAGGAGAAGUAGAGUGGUUAGUAGUAAAAUCAUGGGUUAAGAGGAGCAUGGGUGUCUAUUAUUGUGCUCCCUAGAAAGAUCUUUGUUCUUAGCCAACAUCACCAAGGGAUUCUUCCUUUUUAACCUCACAUCCUCUUAUUCUUUAUUAUUAUCCUUGGUUUGUUCAUCUUUCCUACCUUGUUUCUUACCUUUCUCCUUUAAUUUUCUCAAAUUUUGGUGAGCGUCAUUCACUUAAGUGGGUGAGCGUGGAUGGAGAGUAAAUUUCUGACCAUUCAACUCAAAAGAAUACCAAUUGGUCCAUCUAUUAUGCUUGGUUGAAUGAUAUAUUGCCAGGUCCUCCCAAGGAAGAGAUGAUAAGCUUGCAUGGGUAUCACAUUACAAUGUAUCUCAUCAUAAUAAUUCUUGACUUUGAACCGAAUCACCACUUUCCUAGUCACCUUCAACUUUCCACAAGCAUUUAACUAUUGAAGCUUGUAGGGUGUGGCAUGUUUAGUUCUAUGCAACAUUAAGAAUUCAACCAUGGUAGAAUUAGCUACAUUAGCACAACUCCCACUAUUAAUGAUCAUAGAGCACACAUUGUGUUUAAUAAGGCAUUUAGACUGCAUUUGUUUUUUUUUAAGAUUUAGACAUCUGAAUCUGAAUGCACAUCUGAAUGAUUAAGAUGUUGUCUCUAGAUCUGAAAAUUGAAUGAUUAAGACUAUUUAUUUUUCAACAUCUGAAUAUGUAACAAAAAAAAUUAUUUGUAUAUAUAAUAUAAUAAAAAAUAACAAUUCAAGAAAAAAAUAAUUAUAUGUUAGAAAAGUAUGUAAUUUAUAUAAUACAAUAAAAUUAUUACUUGAUUGAAAGAAAUAUUUAUGUUUGUUAGUGAUAGUAGAGAUGGUUUAUAAUGGUUAUUGCGGUGACAAUGAUUGAUGUUACUGACCAGUAAUGUUGGUAGUGAUAGUUGUGAUGGUUGAUAUUGUAGUAACUGUUAUGAUAGCGAUGGUUGAUAUUGGUGGUGGUAGUUGUGAUAUGAUGUUGCUUGAUGUUAGCAGUUGGAGUUGUUGAUUGUGAUGGCUGAAAAAUGAAAGCAUGAUGAUUGACAAUGUGUUGGUGCUAGUUGGAGAUGUUGUUAGUUGUGAUGGUGGAGAUGGUUGUUAGUAGAGAUAAAUCCUAGCAAUGGUAGUGGUUGAGGUGAUGGUAGAGGUGGCAUUACUAGUUUUAAUGGUGGUGGCAGUCGAAGAAUGUAUGGAGAUUGUGAUGUAUUAGUGGCAGUUAACAGUGAUGCUAGUUGUUAAAGAUGAGUUGGUCGAUAGUAGGAAUUGACCGGUAGUGGUUAAUUAUGGUAGUGCUGUUGAUGGUGAAUAUAAUAAAAAAUAAUAGAGAUAGUAGGUGUGGUAAUGAUUGAAAAUAGUGGUUGAUAGAGAUAUUUGUUAUCGAUGGUGGUUAUGAUGGUAGAGGUAGUUGGUGUGGUGGAUGGUGGUUGACCAUGGUGGCGGUGACAGAGGUACUUAGUGGUGGUGACUGAUGAUUAUGAAUAGAGUGACGGUGAAUAUUAUCCAACACCGGACUACCUCUUCAGACAUAUUAAGACUUGAUUCUAGAUCUGAAUGAUUAAGACCUAUUCAGACCUAUUAAGAGCUAAAAUCUUAAUAAAAAACAAAUUCACUUAAUGGUCUAAAGUCUGAACCAUUCAGAUUUAGACCUCCAUUAAGUGCAAACAAAUGAUCCCUUAGUAUGGUAUAGAUUUUUUCCCUUUGACUAGGAUCAUAUAUUGCCUUACUAAUUAUUGUACGCCUCACAAUAAAGUUAGGAACCUCAAAAUCUCUAUCUUGAGGCUAAGGAUCUUUAUUAUCUUCCCCUUCUUGCUCACCUUCUUCGGAUCCCUCUCCUUCUUGGGCUUUUUUAUCAUUCUCAUAUUCCAAUACCUCCUCUUUUCUAAGGUAGUACAACUUUCUUUCUCUAAGGAUCACAUUUCUUCGAUUAGGAAAUUCACUUGCUUUAUGUCCCCACCCCUGUCAUUUAAAGCAUUGAAAACCAUUAGGAUUGAGAUAGGAUAUUUGUUACCUGGAUUCUUUGGCGAGUACUUUGGAGUGGUCUUCUAUAUAGGCUUCUUGUCAUAGAGUUGUAGUCCUUGUUCUUGUUACAUAUCGAUGAUGAUUGAGCUACCUUUUUAUUCUUACUCUAAGUGUUGGUAGAUGAGUAUCCCUUUGGUUUGUAAGUUUCCCUCUCUUUGAAUCUCUUUCAAUUUCCAAGGCCGCUUGGAAGAUUUCUUCUAUGGUUUCAAACUUGUGGAUAGUCAUACAUAAGGAUAUUUCUCUGUUCAACCCAACCUUAAAGCAUGUGAUGUCAUGGUUCAUGUUCUCAUGAUACUCGAGCUUCAAGAUCAAUUGUUGGAAUUCAUCAUAAUAGGCCAAGAAAUUCUUUCUUAUUUGCCUCAAGUUGUAUAACUUGGCAAGUAACUCAUGUCUACUCGUAGACACAUACCUUUGUCUCAUGAGUCCCUUCAAUGCAUUCUAUGGGGUGGUUGUCAAUCAUUUAACGAUUUCUAAAUCUCUUGGCAUAAUCCCACAACGUAUUGGCAUAACUUUCAAUGUGGGCUAUGAUAUAGCAAUUCUUCUUCUUAUCGGUGAUAUCAUUGACUUGAAAGGUCCUUGCAUAAGAAGAUUCCCAUAUGAGUUAAGAUUUGGGGUUACUCUUGCCUUUGAAAGUCAAAAUACUAACCUUAAUUAAAUUGAUACCCAUAUCUCAAUCCCUAUUUCCUUGUUGGUUUCCUGGAUCAUAACUUUGGGGUCGGUUUCCCAACUUUUCUCUUUCAUUACCACUAUGUUGGUUUCAUUGAUCAUGGCCUUGGGGUUGGUUUACCAAGUUUCCUCUAUCAUUAGGAACCUGGCCAAAUCUUUUUCCUUGACCUUGAUAACCUCUUCAAUCCAUUAGUUUAUCUCUCAUUUCACCUACCAACAUAUCGUCUUCAUCGAAUGCUCCAAACGCUUUUUAUUGUUCUUCCAUCUUUUCCUCUUCUAAUUGCAUGGGUUGGUUUUCAUUAAAAAGUACUUGGAAUGGGGGAAUUUAGUUUAGUGGAGGUUGGGGUUGUAACGCCUCAAUUUUCUGAAUCGAAAUGCUACACGGUACUCAGACCUCUAAGGACCACAAGCUAACCUAUGACUAAUAGCUGGACCUCUACACUGCAUAAUAUAUGUAUAUAAAUAUGGAAACAUGAACUGAAAGGCCAUAAAGUUCAAUAAUAAACAUAAUCUGAAUAAUAACAAUGUCUGAAUAAAGUGGUAUCACAAUACCAAAACAAAACCAAAAUACUGAAGUCUGAAUCUAGCCUGUAAUCUAGUCUGGAAGCCUCUACCUGUCUGAAGUGGGGAGUGGAAGGAACAUGUCUCCAACUAACUCCCAACUACUGAAAGACAAACUGAAAUACUGAAGUAAUAAAGUAGUAAUUAUGUCCUCGAAGAAUGAGAACUCAAUGCUAAAUCUGACUGCUGAAAGCUGCAAUGCUACUGCUGCUCUGGAACUCGUGCCUCUGAACCUAUGGUGUAAAAUAAACACCAUAGCACGAAUGUGUCAGUACGACUGAAUGUACUGAGUAUACGAGUGAGGUAGGAUAAAUGCAAAGGUUUUAUAUGCAUGAACAAUGCUUACUCAUAUGAAUGUGAGAAUACAUACCUGUAUAAGUAAUUAUAAUAAAACUCGUGGUGAUACUGACUACUGAGUCUGAAUGCUGACAACAUGAGUGUACUGAUACUAAGAUACUGAAUGACUGAGUUUACUGAUAUUUAUAUGUAAGUCACUACUAAGUGAGGAACUGAUACUACAUUACUGAAUAGAUGAAUGACUAUUUUUGACAGUUUGAAUUAUGAAGAAUUGGUCUAAUUUACUGUGUCUAACAGUCCUAAAAUUAAAUACUGAUAACAUAAGUUAUGAUGACUAAUAUAACUAAUAUGACUGUGAUGAUCGGCAUAACCGAUGUAACUGAUACUGAGCGAUUGUAUCUGACAGUCUAAGUUCUGAUGGAACUAUUUGAGUUUCGUUCUGUAUGGAGUAACUGUAUCUGAGAUCAGUCCUAUCUAGCGUGAGCUCUUUGAGUAUAAUGAUAAUAAAGAUGAUUUGACUUAGUCUGAGAUUAGUUUUACCUAGCGGGUAAUCUCUAAAUCUGAUUAUACUGAUGCUGAUUAACCAUAGUUGAGGUCAGUCCUAUCUAGUGGGUGAUCCCAGAGUCUAUUGAUAAUGAUAGGGAUUGACUGUAUCUGACAGUCUUGAAUCUAUAACUGAAAUUGUGGGAUGUAUUCAUCUAACAGACAUGUCCCUUUCUAGCUAGUCUGGGGUCCAACCCGUAACCCCACUUGGAAGGGUGUCAGUACCGCGCUACUGGUAAAGACAACUGCAGUGGAGUCAGUCCUAAUCUAGCCGGUGACCCCUGGGAUCAGUCCUAUAUAUUUGAAUGUGCUAACGGGUGAUCCUUGAGUAUGUUAGUCCUAUCUAAUGGGUGAUAUCUCGUACCUACACUGGCUACGUAGUUUUGGAUCUUAGGGAUUACUUCUGGGGAUCUCAUUCCUCUCUAGUGGGUGAGUCCCCAUCCCUAGGCUUGCUCGGUGCUGAAUCCUACUCCCAUCUAAAAGACUCUGAACUGAUUAACUGAGAUGAACUGAUUAACUGAACUGAACUGAUACUAGUGGUAUUAUUUAGCGGAGCUAAACUGAGUUUACUGAGUUCCAUUGACUGGCAAAAUAUAUUGAGUUCUGUGGACUGACUGAGAGUACUGUAGUUACUGAGAAAUACUGGGAAUAUUGAAUCACAGAGAUUGCUAAACUACUGAGAUUACUAAGAUUUCUGAGAUUUCCUGAGUCACAUGACAGACUGAGUUCUAUGGAUCAUGGCUUGACUGAGAGUAUCGUGAAAACAUGACAUGGCUCUAGGCACACAACUAAAUUGUCGGGUACAAGUAAUCCUAGGACUCGAUGGAAAGAAACUGGCAUAGCAUGGCUUACUUGAACACAUGACCAAUCAACACAAUUCAUAAUUCAUAUAUUGAAGCACUUCAUCAAACAUGUGAUAUGAAUAAGCUUGUACAUACAUGGGGAUUUCAUGAUAUAAUGCUAGUUAGGCACGUUUCCUUCAUCUAGGCAUUUAAUCAUACAUAUUGUAGGCAUAGUACAUGUAGACAACAUUAUACAAUAAACAAACAUCAUGAUUCAUCUCUAAUUUCAUCAUUCAAGGGUUUAGUCAUAAGGUUGCAUUAAUCUAUAGCUAUAAUAAUUAAACCCAGAUGGAAAUUAUUACCUAACAUGGAUUUGAGUUCAAUUGAUCAUUCUUAUCAUAAGCAAAACAAACCCAGCAUGAAAUUCAUAAAGAAAUCCAUAAACUUGAAUUUAGAAAAGGGAUUCUUGGGCUUCAUGGACGAAAGGAGUCCAUGAAUGAACACUAUGCAUACCUUAGGGAUAGAAUCUUGAAAGAAAAUUGACCUUUCUUGAAUGUUUUGGAUUGGGAAUCUUAAUUCUUGAAUAUCUUGUGGAGAGUGUGAUGGGGUCUUGAAGUUAAUUGAGAAGAAACCCUAAGUUUGUUCUUGGGAACAAAGGGGGUUAAGAGCUUUUGAAACUAAAUACCAAUAGCUAAAUACGUAUUUUUGGUGUUUUAUGUCGUGGGGGUAAGGUUUAGGGCGAGGGAAAAAGACCAAAAUACCCCUAGGAAAUUACUUCCCAGUUGCUGAAAUUAUCAGCUGACGACCAAGGCUGAUAAGCCAUCAGAUAUGUGAUAGCCCGUCUGCCCAGGUUGUCACCUAGGAGCUGGAAUUGAUGGGUUGCUGUUUAAGCUUGACGACAUGGCUGAUAAGUCAUCAGAAAUGUGAUAAGCUGUCAGACAGGUUAUCAGAAAUGUCAUAAGCCGUUAGACAGGUCGUCACUCAGUUUCCAGGCUGACAUGCUGGAGUAAAAUGGGUAUAACGUUUUGCUCCGAUAUCGGAUUUGCGUAAAAUUGGUAUCGUUGGAAAUAUAAUUCAAUUAUCUAUAUUUUGGUGGGUCAUGAGCUCAAAAAUUCGUAGUACAACAAUAGAUAUUUUCAUUUGAAGUUGACUAUAGAAAUAUCCUUUCCAAGAAUUCAAUCGGUAAGGAAUGUUUUGAUUCGUCUGAUAGCUGGGAGUUAUUUGAAGCCUUAAUAUACCUAUAUCUUACUCAUAAAACUAUAAAAUAAUUAUGAUGUACUAUGCAUGAGAUUGAAAAAUGGAGCUAAUAUUGGUUUGGAUUUUUUGGGGUAUUGCAAGGGUCUUCGGUUUGAGAUUUGUCUUAUUGUGUUUUGUUAAAUUGAGUUGGAGUGGUCGAAUGGGAUUUCGGUUUUGUGGAUAUAUAGUGGAUUGAGGAAUGCGGUCAUUGUCAUGAACCGAAUCAGGCUGGCUGAGACGGGCAUCCCAAGUCUGUCAUGGACCGAAGACCACCCUCUUUGCCUAGUCGCACAGAACACAAUACACUAAAAAUGGCUGAAUUCUGAACAUAUCAAGAGAUAGAUAAAGGUAAGAUCAAGAAGUCUAAGAUACAUCAACAACCAAUACCUAUUCCAUUGUAAUCCUUAAAAAAUUUAUGACAAAAUCAAAUCAAACCAAUUUCGGGACAUGCCCCCGACGAUAGCUAAAAUAAGUCCACUGAAAAGUCUAUGAUAAAAGAUAAACCAAAAAGUAACGGCUUCCUGAAUAUAGAGGAUCACCACUUCAAGUUGUUUGCUGAUAACCCAAAAACUCGACCACUUCGCAGAAAGAGAAGAAGUAUCUUCGGUUCCUGCAUCACGUGGGAAUACAACGUACGAAGAUGGUUAGCGGGUUGAGAACUAGCACGUAACUCAGGGGAGGGAUAAAAUAAUGCCAUGAUCAAUAAUUUAAAAUCAUCCAAAUCCAUUGGACGCAAUCAUAUGCAUAUACAUAUACAUAAAUAUAACAUGCCAGGGUAAGGAUCAAGGCUUAGCAUGAACAUUAAAACAUUAGCAUGGAACUAUGUAGCUCAACCGCUAUAAAAAGGGACCCACAAGCGAUAUGGGUUCAACUUUCCCUACUGAAAGGGCCCCUAUGCGUGUAGCCGCACGAACUAAAGAAAUAAUCAUAUGUACAUAUGUACCGUAGGGGACUCGAGCUACUCAGUCAUAUAUCAAGGGUGACGUGAACACCCAAUCAGUUAACAAGGGGGACUCAGACCACCCGGUCAUAAGCAAGAGGACUCGAACCCAAGGCCCUUUAGACCUCCCCUUCCCGACAAACGUGGUUUCUAGUAUUGGUCUCUUGGGAACUCCACUUUCACAACCAUUUCACACAACCCUUUUUAAGCCUAAUUUAAACAUUUUUCACAUAUUCCCAUUUAAUUGAACCACAAUAUUCCUUAAGGCAUUCACUAUUUGUUUUGUCAUACCAACUACACUUGUAAGGUAACAUCAUCAUGCUAGUAAAAUUCCAUUUCCUUGGGGAAAGCAACCCCUUUUGUUCAUUAAAUCAAUGUGGGGGAAUUCCAUGACCCCAUUUGUUCAUUAAAUCAAACCGUUAUGUUUCAAUAACCUCUUUAUAUCAUGCAAUGGUUCCCAAAAAUUGUUCAAUGCAAAUAUACUCAUAGUUAAAUCCAAUUUCACAAAAUUGUGUUGGGGUUAUACCAAUUCAAUUAUCCACAUUGAUGAAAUUAGGGGAAACCAUGAUCCCCUAGUUUAUUCACAAUGCCCAUGCACCCCACAUGUUCAAAACCAUCAAUUCAAACCAUACAUGAUUCAUAAAAGCCAUGGGAAAACAUUUAAUUCAAUAAUGUUCAAUAACCCUCAACCUACAUUUAAAAUCAUCAAUUAAAUCACACCGGUACAAUUAUAAACACAUGCUUUUGAUAAAAUAAGACUUGGGAAAGAACAUUCCUAAAAGUACAGAGAAUUAUGGAGGGAAAUCAACCCUUGAGCCCUUAGAUGACCAACUUUGAGUAACCCUAGCUUGUUCUUUGAAUGGGGAAUUUGAGAGAGUAAGGAGAGUGUUUAUGAUUGAUAAGGGUUGUAAAUAAUAGCCCUAAGGUGUUUUAUGUACGUGGGGUUUUAGUGGGUAAAGAGGGAAAUAUCUAAAGUACCCUUCAUUAAAAGCUGAAAAAUUAUCGCCAGUGACUACAGAUUACUAUAUGACUCAUAAGGAUACGCUACAACUCAUCACCACGAGUCGUAGUGUGGACAGUAGCUGAGGGACCCCUCUUUGGUGAACUACGAUUCAUACCAUAUGACUCGUUAAGAGACCCUAUGACACGUAAGGUCCUAGUCAUAACUAGGACAAUAGCAUUUAGGGUACACACUGGUCAGACAAUGAUUUGGACACCACAACUCAUAAUGAGUCUUUACGACUCAUUACCUCUAGUUGUAAUCAAGACAAUAAAAUCAACAUACUUACUGGUCAAAUGAUGAUUUGGAUAUUAUGGAUCGUAAGGACAUCUUAUGACUCGUAAUGUGAGUCAUAGGUUGGGCAGUGAGUUCAAAAACUCAAAAUUUUUCAAGGACCAAAAUCCAGGGUGUUACAUUCUUUCCCCCUAGGAUCGAAUGAUGAGACAAGACAUCCAUUAGCAAGAUUUAACACGGAACGCAACCAUACUUACCUUUAACAAAGAUAGAAAACAAAGAUAUUAAGGAAUACACACACCUUUAGCACGAUUAUCCCAAGCAGAAAAUAUGAAUAGAUAUUUGGACUUCAUGUCCUUUCAGUUUCCCAAGUGGCUUCUUCAAUAUUGUGAUGCCUCUAUAGAACUUUCAUCGAAGCCACAUACUUUGUCUACAAUUGGAGGACUUUCUGAUCCAAAAUCUCAACCAGGGCUUUCUUAUAAGACAAGGAAUUCGAAAUGCCAAUACUCUCUAAACGGACAACUAAGAAAGGAUCACCCACGCACUUCUUCAACAUUAAAACAUAGAACAUCGGAUGGACAAAGCCUAAACUUGAAGGCAACUCCAACUCAUAAGCAACGUUUCCCACUCUUAUCAAAAUCAAGUAUGGGCCAACAUAAUAGGGACUGAGCUUUCCCUUCUUUACAAAUCUCAUUACUCCUUUUAUGGUAGACAACUUUAAGAAUACCCAAUCACUAACAUCAAACUCCAACUCCCUACGCCUCAUAUCCGCAAAGGACUUUUGGUGACUUUGGGUGGUCUUAAGCCUAUCCCAAAUCUCCUUCAUCUUCUCCAUAGCUUAAUGAACUAAGUUAGGACCAAAUAACCUUACGUCACCAACUUUGAAGCAUACAAUUGGAGAUCGAAAUCUUCUACCAUAUAAAGCCUUGAACGAAGCCAUCUGAAUGCUGAAAUGAUAGCUUUUAUCGUACGCAAACUCUAUGAGAGGCAAUUGAUCAACCCAACUACCAUGGAAGUCAAUCAUAAAAGCCUUUAGCAUAUUCGCCAAGGUCUGCAUGGUCCUAUCCACUUAUCCAUCCAUCUGAGGGUGGAAAGUGGUGCUAAGGUUCACCUUAUCCCUAAACCUCACUAAAAAUAAUACAAAAAAUGAGACGAGAACUGCGUACCUCAAUCAGGUAUAAUGGAAACUAGAGAAUCAUGUAACUUUAUUAUCUUUUGAAUGAAAAUCUUAGCAUAGUCCUCUACGGAAAAAUUAGUCCUCACAGGCAAGAAAUGAGCAAAUUUGGUCAUCCUAUCCACGAUGACCCAAAUCGAAUCAAGCUGACUAUGAGACCACGAAAGACCGAUAACGAAAUCCAUAUUAAUAACUUCCCAUUUCCAUGCAGGCAACUCAAUCUCUUCAGAAGAUCCACCUGGCCUCAAGUGCUAAACGUUCACUUGCUAAUAAACCAUACACUUGGCUACGAAAUUUGCCACAUCUUUUUUUUUUCCACCAAUAAAUCUCCUUCAAGUCAUGAUACAUCUUCGUCGAACCAGGAUGAACAGUAUACCUUAAAUCACAAGCCUCGGCCAAAAUCCUUUCCCAUAACCCAUCAACAUUGGGAAUACACAAUCUACCUUGAUACCUCACGAUACCAUCACUACUAAUCUUAAAACCCAAGACUUUUUACUGACCUACCUUAUCCUUAAUUUGCAUCAAGGUAAGAUCCAAAACCUGCUUCUCCUUUACCUUAGUACUGAUAGAAGACUUUGCAACCUCCUGAACGAUCACGCCACCAUCCUUAAAAUCCAAAAGACAAACUCAAAGAUUAGCUAAAUAGUGAAUAUCCUUCACCAGCCCUCGCUUCUCCUCAUCAACAUGAGAUAAUCUUUUCAUAGGUAACCUACUAAGAGCAUUGAAAACCAAAUUAGCUUUACCUGGAUGAUAGUGAAGACUCAUAUCAUAAUCCUUGAGUAACUAAAGCUAUCUCCUUAACCUGAGAUUCAACUUCUUCCAAGUGAACAUGUACUGCAGGUUGUUGUGAUCAUAAUAUAUAUCAAUAUGAACUCCAUAAAAGUAAUGGCACCAAAUCUUCAAAGCAUAAACCACGACCAACAACUCUAAAUCAUUAGUUAGAUAAUUCUUCCCAUGCACCUUAAGCUGCCUAAAAACAUACACCACCACCAUGCCAUGCUGCAUUAAAACACAACCAAGUACCAUACGGGAUGCAUCACAAUAUAUAAUGAAACCAUAAGUACCCUCAAAUAGGGUCAAAAUCGAAGUCGAAGUUAACUUACCCUUUAACUUCUCAAAACUACCCUCACAAGCAUCAGACCAUAAGAACUUCACCUUCUCCUGAGUUAACUUAGUCAAUAGGAUAAUAAUCGAAGAGAAACUCUCCAUAAACCUCCUAUAAUAAUUGGCUAAACCCAAGAAGCUCUGAAUAUUGGUUGGAGUCGUGGGUUUAGGCUACUUCUUAACCACCAUAAAUUUCUGUGUAUCUACCAUGAUGCCCUCACUAGAAACAACAUGACCCAGAAAAUUAACAACAUUCAACUAGAACUCACACUUGGAAAAUUUACCAUACAAACAUUGAUCUUUAAGGGUCUGCAAUACUAUAUGGAUGUGAUUGGCAUAAUCCUUCUCACUCUAUAAAUAUACAAGAAUAUCAUCACUGAACAUAAUGACAAACAAGUCAAGAAAAUAAUGGAAUACCUGGUUCAGAAGAUCCAUAAAUGCCGCCUGGGCAUUAGUUAAACUGAAGGACAUCACCAAGAACUCAAAAUGACUAUAACGGGUUAAAAAAGAGUCUUAGGGAUGUCCACCUACCUAAUCUUCAUCUGAUGAUAACCCGACUGAAGAUUGUCUUAGAGAAGUACUUAGCACCCUGAAACUGGUCAUAAAGAUCAUUAAUCCUAGGGAGUGGUUACUUAUUCUUUAGUAUCACCUUAUUCAAUUGACGGUAGUCUAUACACAUUCGAAGGGAGCCAUACUUCUUACACAUGAAAAUAAUAAGAGCACCCCAUAGGGAAACACUAGAGUGAAUAAAACCCUUAUCAAGAAGGUCUUUCAACUACACCUUUUCUUUUAUUCAAAUUAGUUGGAGACAUUCUAUAAGGAAGGAUACAGAUAGGAUGGGUAUCCAGUAGAAGGUCAAUCCCAAAAUAAUUUCCCUAUUGGGAGAAAUACCAGGUAGAUAGUUAGGAAACACUUUGGGAAAAUCACUAACCUUGGGGACAAACUGUAAAAAAGAACCUUCAAAAUUAGAAUUCUUAACCCGAACUAGAUGAUAUAGGCAACCUUUGGAAAUAAAUUUCCUGGCUGUAAGAUAAGAAAUGAACCUUCCUUAGGUGCUAAAGCUACCUUCCAACUCAAUCACAAGUUCAUUUGGGAAUUGGAAACUAACCCUUUGGGUUCUACAAAUAAAGGACGUAUAACACAAUAGAGCCAAUCCAUCCCCAAUAUAACAUCAAAAUCUAGCAUAUCCAACUUUAUUUAAUCCACCAAGGUCUCCCCACCACAGAUAGAUACCGCACAACCCAUAUAUACUCUUCUAGCAACCAAAAAAUCACCCACUGGGGUGAUUCAAAAAAGAGGUUUGAAAUACACUUAGGACCAAAUCCAAAAUAAAUAGCCAUAUAAGAGGUCAUAUAAUAAUGAUUAGACCCUAGAUCAAGUAAGCAAUACACAUCAUAAGAGAAGAAUUGUAAUGUACUAGUGACAACAUCAUGAGAAGGCUCAAAUUUCUAAUGGGUGGUAAGAGCAUACAAACAAUUCCAUCCAGAGCCGGUACUAGAAGCGGCACCCUUUAGUGCCGGUGAUAAAAAAGUAAAAAUCAAAACCUUAUUAGUCCAGUAUCCACCUUAGAUGAAGGAUAAUCAUGCUGCAUGUGACCAAGCUGACCACACCUAAAAUACUUAUUCUUUUCGUCAUCAUAAAUACCCCAAUCCACCUGCCUAUAGAAGCGACAAAGGGGAUAAGAUGGGGCCAACUGAGCUUUGUUGGCCGAUGAUUGGGCACCUUGUGCCCUAAAUCUAUUAUCUUUCUAGAAGCAAAGAUCACCAGAUGAUUUAGGAUAUAAAGCACUAGCCGUGGAAUAAGAUCUAGAAUUUCCCCACUUCUUCUUAGAUCACUGCCCGAGAUCUCUACCACUAUUCUGAUAACCUUCUCUCUAUUCUGAAUACUUGAAUUUCUUAAUCUUCCUUUCCCCUAUUUCAAAUUGCUUUAUUUUUACUCCUCAACCUGUUUCAUAUACACCAUAAGUCUAGAGAUAUCCAUAUCCUUGUUCAACAAGGCGACCUUGCACUCCAAAUCCAAAUCACAAGACAAGCCCAAGGUGAACUUUCUCAUCCUCUCCCUCAUAGAUGACAUUAACUCUGGAGCAUAACAAGAUAACUGAUAAAAUUUCAAGGCAUGCUCCUUAACAAUUAUUCUGCCUUAUUUCAGUUUUACAAAUUGCUCGGCCUUCGCUUCUCUCAACUCCUAAGAAAGAAAUAGAUCUAAAAAGGUACUCGAAAGGUCAUCCCAUAUUGUUGGCUUGACAUCUUCUCACCUCAUCUUCUCUACUCCUCAUACCACUGAUAUGGAAGAUCCUUCAACUUAUAUCCGGCAAAUUCAAUGCCCUUAGAGUCAGAAGCAUGCAUAACUCUGAAGAUCUUUUCCAUCUCAUUAAUAAAAUUUUGAGGAUCCUUCUCAACCUAUGAAAAUCGAAGGGCUCAACCUCAUAAACUAGACAACUCUAGUAACUUCAAAAGAUGGAGCAAUAGAAGCAAUACGCUCAGUCUGAGAAGCCACUAACUGGGUAAGCAAAAGGAUUGAAUAAUGAAACUCAGUACUAGAAACAUCGGCUUAAGGUAUCCAAGGUUGAAUAGAGGGAAUUGGUGGAACUACACGAGGGCAAUAAGGAGCUAGAUCCCUAGACCAGGUCUGUACCCUAUAAGUAGAUGAGCUUCAUCCAUAUUAUCCUCAAGAGAGACUAAAGAGUUUCCACAAGCAUUAGAUUUUCUAGGGGGCAUGAUCUGAAGUCCGAAUAAAUAGAAAUUAGAGGGGAUUCAAGGCCUUAGACUCUAUAGCCCAAAAUAGAACAACAAGAAAGGGAAACAUUCCUAAAUGUCUUGUAACCUCUCCCUAAUAAGUGUGGCGCACUACACACCCAUAAAAUAACUCUACUUGACAUGACUUUGUGGAAAACUAAUUGACCAUGAAUCUAGGCUCUGAGACCAACUUUGUCAUGACCCAAACCAGCAUCUGCCUAUGACGGGCAUUCCAAGUCUGCCGUGGAUCGGAGACCACCCCAUUUGCCAAGUCCCACAAAACAUAAUACACUAAUAGAGGAUGAAUUUGGAACAUAUAACAAAGAUAAAGGUAAACUCAAGAAAUCUAUGAUACAUCAACAACCAAUACCCAAUCCAUAGUAAUCCACAAAGCCUUUAUGGCAAAAUGAAUCAUGACAAUGUCGGGACAUGCACCCGAUGAUAACUAAAAUAAUUCUAAAUAAAAGUCUAUGAUAAAUAUAAACCAAGAACAACAAUCUUUCGAAAGAUGGAGGCUCACCACUUUAAGCUGAUUGCCGAUAACUCAAAAAUCUAAUCACUACACAGAAAACACAGAAGUGUCUCUGGUUCCUGCAUUGCAUGGGGAUACAACAUCCAAAAAUGGUUAGCGGGUUGAGAGCUAGCAUGUAACUCAGGGGAGGGAUAAAAUAAUACCAUGAUCAAUAACUUAAUAUCAUCCCAAUCCAUUGCACACAAUCAUAUGCAUAUACAUAUACAUAAAUAUAAUAUGUAGGGGUAAGGAACAAGGCUUAGCAUGAACUUUACAACAUUAUCCUAGAUUGUGUAGCUCAACCAUCAUAAAAGGGUACCCACGAGCAAUAUGGGCUCAGCUCUCCCUACUGAAAGUCCCCAAGUACAUAUAGCCACAUAAACAAGAGAAAUAAUCAUAUGUACAUAUGUCACAACCCAAACCAGGGCUCGAUCAUAACGGGUAUCUCAAGUCCACCGGGGACCAGAGACAACUCCUUUGCACCUAACCAAACAACAUAAUAUCCAUAAUAUUGGAUGAAUUCCAAAUAUAUAACAAUAUAACACAUGAUAAGAUUAAAGAAUAAAAGGUAAGUCUAUGACCGAUAACCAGUAACCAGCUAAAAUAAGCAACUAACAUCACCCAAGUCCACAGUACUCCAACAAAACCUUAUAACAAAAAAAACCAAAACCCAGUCUUGGUUGGGACAUCCUCGACUCUAAAUGAUGAAAAUGACAAUGAUAUUGAUAAUAAUAAUGGAAACUCUCAAUUCUAAUCUAUGUUAAUAACUGAUGAAAUGUCUAAGUCUUCCAGAGAAUAGAAGCUCACCAUUUCAGUACAAUGAGUUAAUGAACCAAGUCGAUCCUCCUAACUCUUCAUAGGAAAAGUAGAGGUAUCUUUGGGACCUACUUUACAUGGGGAUACAAAGUUUGUUGAUGGUUAGUGGUUGGGUCACUAGCAUGUAAAUUAGGUAUAGUGGAUUAAAUAAUGCCAUUAAUAUCAAUUCAAAACCAAUCAAAAUACAAUGCAUAUAACCGUAUACCUUUACAUAUAUAUAUAUAUAUAUAUAUAUAUCUAAAUAUCACAUGGCGGGAUAGGGGACAAGUCUUAACAUGCACAUUAAUAUUUUAGCCUGGAUUGUGUAGCUCAACCAUCAUAACAUACGAAGUCACCCACGGUCUAUAUGUGCCCAACUUUCCCCCUGAUGGUAGGGCCCCAGUGUGUGUGGCCCCAUAAAUCAAAGGGUAUGCAUAUGCACUAUGAGGGACUUAAAGCUCCCAGUCAUAUGAUAAUAAUAAUAAGGGAGACUCAAAACACCCAGUUAUAUAGCCCCUCAUGUCGGUAAUAUAAUGUAGGAGACUCAAACCUCCCAGUCAUAUGAUAAUAAUAAUAAGGAAGACUCAAACCACCCAGUUAUAUAGACCCUCAUGUCGGUAAUUGCGGUUUCUAGUAUUGAUAUCUCGGGACUUCCAGUUUCACGACUCAGUUACAUAACCAUCAUUAAACCAUAAUUAAUAAAUUUUCACACAUUUCCAUCAUUGAGCCACGAUCCAUAUUCAGGCAUACAUUUUUGGUAUCGUCAUACCAACUACACUUACAAGGAAACAUCAACAUGCCAAAACAAUUUCAUUAUUAGGGAACAUUCAUAGCCCCCAUGGUUCAAUUAUACAUUAUCUUAGAGAAUCACGCAAUCUCUUAGGGUUCAAUUUCAAAACCAUUAUCACUUUAUGCAAUAGUUCAAGAGUAGUUCAGUAUGCAUGCUUUUUAUAUUCAAAAACCAAUUUCACAAUAUAGGGCUAAGGUCAUAACCACUUCAAAAGUCAUAAGUUGGGAAAUCACAAUUCCCUAAUUUAUUCACAUACCUAUGCAUCAAAUUGAUUUUAAAACCACCAUUUACAUAAUCCAUGCAGGGACAAACAUGAAACAUCACAUAAACACCAGUUAUUCAAAACACUUAACCCAUGUUUUCAAAACCAACAUCAAUACUAUAUGAACAACACUUCCAAACUUAUGCUUUUAACAAAUUAGCAAUUAGGGAAGAGUAACAUGCCUGGAAUACCAAGUUUCACAGAUAGAAUUCAAUCCUUAAUCCCUUGGAUGACCUACUUCUUGAAAACCCUAAGUAUGACUGCUUGAGGUACUUGAGAGAGAUGUGGAAGUGUUUGAGUACAUAUAAAUGAAAAAUAACCCCCUUAAGUGCUUUAUGAACAUGGGGUUUUAAUUUAGUGAGAAGGAAAUUGUCCAAAGUGCUCUUAAUUUAAAAACUAAAAUUUAGUCGUCAGUGACUACAAGUCACUAUACGACUCGUAGUGACUCAUUAUAACUCGUCACCAUGAUUCGCAACCAAGACAUCCUCUAGGGAACUUACAAUGUGAUGACCCUAAGACUUAACUAAUAUGACUCGUAAUGGGACCCUAUGACUCGUAGGGUUCAGUCGUAGUCAACACAGAACCUAUUUAGGGUAAACACUAGACAUCCUAUGAUUUGCACCCAACGAUUUGUAAUGAGUCCUUACGAAUCUUACUGAGCCACUCGUACUCAGAUCGAAAGUUAGUCACACACUUCCUUUUUAGGCUACGAUUGGGUCUCUAAGACCCAUCAAGACCACCUAUGACUCGUAGGGGAGUCGUAGUCAGGACAGUGGGGAUAAAACUUUAGAUAUUUUCAAGGACCAAAAACCCAGGGUGUUACAUACUUCCCCCCCUUAGGAUCAUUCAUCUUCGAAUUAUAGGACAAGAUAUUUAUUUGUAGGAUUUGACUCCAAUAUAACCAACUUACCUUUAACAAAGACAAAAAAUAAGAUGUUAAAGAAUACACAUACCUCCAGCCCAAUUACCCGACGUAGGGAACAAGAAUGGAUACUUGGACUUCAUGUCCUCCCCGGCUUCUGACGUAGCUUCAUCAGCCUCUUGGUUCCUCUAAAGAAGCUUUAUCAAUACCACAUCCUUGGUCCAUAAUCGACAGACUUGUCAAUCCAAAAUCUCAAUCGAGACUUCCUCAUAGGAUAAGGAAUCUAAAAUACCCACCUCCUCCAAAGGAACGACCAUCAAAGGAUCACCCAUGCACUUUCUUAACAUCAAAACAGGAAACACUGGGUGAAUGGAGCUCAAACUAGAAGGCAACUCUAAUUCACAUGCAACAUUACCAACCCUCUUCAAAAUAAAGUAUGGACCAAUAUAACGAGGAAUGAGAUUCCUCUUCUUACCAAACUACAUCACUCCUUUCAUAGGAGACACCUUUAAGAACAUCCAAUCACCAAUACUGAACUCCAACUCCCUUCACCUUACAUCUGCGUAGGACUUCUGAUGACUUUGGGAGGUUAAAGUCUAUACUAAAUCACCUUUACCUUCUUCAUGGCUCGGUGAACCAAAUCAGGGCCAAAUAGUAUUUUUUCACCAACCUCAAACCACUUAAUAGGACACCUAUACCUCCUACCACAUAAGGCCUCAAACGGGGCCAUACUAAUGCUAGAGUGUUAAUUUUUGUUGUAGGCAAAUUCUAUGAGGGGCAAGUGGUAAACCCAACUACCAUUAAAAUGAAAUACACAAACCGAACCAUUUUUUUUGAGGACUGAAUUAUCAUUUCUUCUUGGCCAUCCAUCUGCGGGUGGAAAGUUGUGCUAAGGGUUACCUUAGUCCCUAAACAUCACUAGAACAACCUCCAAAAGUGAGAUGAGAACUGAGUGACUCGAUCAGGUAUGAUGGAAAUUGGAGUACCAUGCAACUUCAUAAUCUCCACAAUGUACAACUUGGUAUAAUUCUCAAAAGAAAAAUUAGUCCUUACUGGCAAGAAGUGAGCAAACUUAGUCAUCCUAUCCAUGAUGACCCAAAUCGAAUCAAAUUGCUAGUGAGACCACAGAAGAUCGGUGACAAAAUCUAUAUUAAUUAUUUCCCAUUUCCAUAUUGCCAACUCAAUCUCUUGAGUCAAUCCACCGGGCCUUAAGUGCCCCACCUUCACUUACUGACACGCCAUGCUUUUAGCCAUAAAAUCCAUAUCCCUCUUCAUAUUAUUCCACCAAUAAAUCUCCUUAAGAUUAUGAUACAUUUUUGUCGAACUAUGAUGAAUAGUAUAAUGCGACUCAUGAGCUUCAGCCAAAAUUCUUCUUCGCAACCCAUCAAUAUAAAAACACAUAAUCUACCUUGGUACCUCAAGAUAUCAUCACCACCGAUCUCGAAAAUCAUCACCUUCUGCCUACCUACAUCAUUCUCCUUCACCCCAGCAUCAAGAGAUGACUUUUUCACCUCUUGAACAAUUACACCACUAUCCCUAAAAUCCAAUAGACGAACUCCUAGAUUAACAAAAUAGUGAAUAUCCUUCAUAAAAUUCCAUAUCUUUUCGUCCACAUAAGAUAAGAUUCCUAUGGACAACCUGCUAAGAGCAUCAACAACCAUGUUAGCUUUACUUAUAUAAUAGUGGAGACUCAUGUAAUAGUCCUUAAACAACUCAAGCCACCUUCUUUGCCUGAGAUUUAGCUCCUUCUGAGUGAACAUCUAUUGUAAUCUCUUAUGAUCAGAAUAAAUAUCAACAUGGACCCCAUACAAAUAAUGUUGCUAGAUCUUCAAUUCAAGCACUAUAGCUAACAAUUUGAAAUCAUGAGUCAAGCAUUUCUUCUCAUAAACUUUUAAUUGUCUAAAGGCAUAAGCAACCACCUUGUAAUGCCACAUUAACACCACCCAGUCCUACUUGGGAGGCAUCACAAUAUACCACUAAACCAUCGUUGCCCUCAAGUAGAGUCAAAAUCAGAGCUAAAGUUAACUUAUCCUUUAACUUCUCAAAACUACCCUCAAAAGCAUCAAACCAUAAAAAUUUUACCUUCUUCUGAGUCAACUUAGUCAAUGGGGCAGUAAUAGAAGAAAUCUUUCCACAAACCUUCUAUAAUAACUGGCUAAACACAAAAAGCUCCGAAUGUCGUUGGAGUCAUAGAUCUAGGCUACUUAUAAACCACCACAACCUUCUAUGGAUCUACCAUGAUCCCUUCACUAGAAAUAAUAUGUCCUAGAUAAGUCACAAAAUUUAAUUAGAACUCACACUUUGAGAACUUAACAUACAACCAUUGAUCCUUCAAGGUUUACAACACAAGGUGGAGGUGAUUGACAUGAUCUGCCUCGUCCUUAUAAUACACCAAAAUAUCAUCAAUAAAGACAAUCACAAAAAAGUUCAGAAAUUGAUGAAAAACCUGAUUCAUAAGAUCCAUAAAUGCUAUCGGGGUAUUUGUCAAACCAAAGGAUAUCACUAAAAAUUCAAAUAACCAUAUCAGGUUCGAAAAGCAGCCUUAGGGAUUUACACCUCCCUAAUUUUCAAAUGAUGAUAACCCGACUGAAGGUCAAUCUUAUAAAAAAACUUGGCACCCUGAAGCUGAUCAAAUAGAUCAUCAAUACUCAGAAGGGGAUACUUUUUCAUUAUGGUCACCUUAUUUAAUUGGCGGUAAUCAAUACAUAUCAGAAAGGAUCCACCCUUCUUAUGGACAAAAAGAAUAGGAGUGCCCCAUGGAGACACUAGGGCGGAUAAAACCCUUAUCCAGAAAAUCUUUCUACUGCUCUUUGAGUUCUUUCAACUAAACCAGAGUCAUUUUGUAAGGAGAGAUAGAAAUAGGAUAUGUUUUUGGAUAAAGAUCAAUCCCAAAAUCAAUUUCCUUGUCAGGAGGAACACAUGGAAGAUCAUUAGGGAACACCUCAAGUAAUUCACAGACCACAAGGACAGUCUACAAAGAAGGAUCUUGAGAUUUAGAAUCCUUAACAUAUACUAAGUUAUAGAGACAUCCUUUAGAAACCAAUUUUCGGGCUCUAACAUAUGAAAUGAACCUUUCCUUAGGUACUAGGGAGAUACCUUCCCAUUUGAUCACUGGCUCAUUUAGGAAAUAGAAAUUGACCCUUCUGGUCCAACAAUCAAGGGACAUAUAACACAAAUGCAAUUAUUUUAUUACCAAAAUCAUAUCAAAGUCUAACAUGUACAACUCUAUCAGAUCCACCAAGUUCUCCCCACUAUAGACCAAAAUUAUAGAACCCUUAUACACCCUUUUAUCCAUAAUAGAGUCAUCCAUCGGGGUGGAUACAGAAAAGGGGUUCGAAAUACUUUCAGGAUCAAAACCAAAAUGGAAAUCCACUUAAGGGGUCACAUAAUAAAGGAUAGACCCGAGAUCAAGUAGACAAUAUACAUCAUGAGAGAAGAGUUUGAGCGUACAAGUAACAAUAUCAAGGGAUGCUUUAGAAUCCUAGAGGGUGGCAAGAGCAUACAAGCAGUUUUAUUCAGUGCCAGAGCUAGAAACAAAAGUUGCACCCUUUGGUACAGGAGCUGAUAAAGUAGCAACAUGAAUUUUAUUUUCCCAAAAGCAACUUUAGAAGGGAAAUUCCUAUGCAUAUGAUGUAUCUGAUCCCAUUUAUAAUAUUUGUUCCCUCUUUUUUCACAAACACCAUGAUGCACCUGACCACAAAAUCUGAUAGGGGACAUGAUAAAGUUGACUGAGCCCUACUAACUUGAGGUUGGGAUCUUGGUACUCUAAACCAACUAUUAUACUGAGAACAAUGAUCACCUGACGACUUUGAAUAAGGAGCACUAGCUGUAGAGUAGGAACUGGAAUUGCCCCACUUUUUCUUGAACCGCUUUUCACCAUCUCUAUCACUCUGCUGAUGACCUCCACCCUAUUUUGAGCAGUAAAAGUUCUUAUUCUACCUUUUAUUUAUCUCUGCUUUUUUCUUCUUUUCCUCUUCCAUUUGUUGCAUAUACACCACAAGUCUAAAGAUGUGUAUGUCAUUAUUCAACAAGGUAGCCUUUCUCUCUAAGAUCAACUCAUAAGAAAACACAGUGGCAAAUUACUCAUUUUAUCCCUCAUGCUAGACAUUAAUUAGAGCAUAAUGCGACAACUGAUGAAGUUUCAAGGCAUACACCUUUUCUAUCAUCCCGCCUUGCUUUAAAUUUAUGAAUUCCUCAACCUUUGCCUCCAUUAACUCCUGAGGAAAGAAAUAAUCAAGAAAAGAACUAGAGAAAUCAUCCCACAAAGAGGAUUCAACAUCAUCACCCUAAGCUGCUCCCACUCUUCAUACCAUUGGUAUGCUACAUCCUUCAACUGAUAAGCUGUGAAAUCUAUACCUUCCAUCUCAGUAGCAUGCAUCACACAUAAAUAUUUUUCAUCCCAUUAAUGAAAUUUUAUGGAUCUUUUUCAACUUUAGAACUAGUGAAAGUAGGAGGGCUCAACCUCAUGAAUUGGCCAACUCUAGUAGCCUCAGAGGAUGGAGAAACAAAAGCAACACACUCAGUCUGGGAGGCCACCAACUAGGUAAGUAAAUGAAUUGACUAUCAAAACUUAGUAUUAGUCAUGCUAGCUAGAGGUUCCUGAGGAGUGAUAGGGGAACCGCUGGAGCUCCAUCAGGCUAAUCAGAAGCAGUGACCCUAGACCAGGUCUAAACUCUUGGAGUAGGCUGAGGUUCAUUCAUAUUAUCCUUAGAUGGGACAAAAAAGUUUCCAUGAACAUCAGAUCUUCUGGGAGGCAAGAUCUAAAAAGCAAACAUGCAGGAAUUAGAGGAGAUUCAAGAACUUAGACUCAAGUAUAUAGCUCAAAAUAAAAAAACAAAAAAGGUAAACACUCCUAAAUACCUCAUAGCCUCUCCCUUAUAAGUGUGGUAUUCUACACACCCAUAAAAGAGACUCUACUUGACACAACUUUAUGGAUACCCAAUGACACCUAAACUAGCUCUAAUACCAUCUUUGUCAUGAUCCGAACUUGGGCCCAACUGUGAUGUGUAUUUGUUGUCCAUUGGAGACUGGAGACCACCCCUUUGAACCUAACCAAACAUAAUAAUAUCGUCAAUGUCAAAUAUUUUAACUUUCAUGACUCAUCUACAUAACCUUCAUUAAAGCCUAAUUAAAAUAAUUGUCUCACAUUCCUAUUUAUUAAACCAAGAUACACAUUCAGGAAUACAUUAUUGGUAUCAUCAUACCUACUAUACUUGCAUGGUAACAUCAACAUACCAAAAUAAUUUCAUUAUUGGGUAACAUUCAUAGCGCCCCUUGGUUCAAUUAUACAUUUGCUUAGGGAAUCACACAACCUCAUAUGGUUCAAUUUCAAAACCAUUACGCUUAAUUGAUUUUUCACUUUAUGCAAUAGUUCAAGAGUAGUUCAAUUUGCAUACUUUUGAUUAACAAUUAUGGAAAUUGCAAUCCUCUAAUUUAUUCACCAUAACCAUACAUCAAAUUGAUUUUAAAACAACCAUUUACGUAAUCCGUGCGGGGGCAAACAUGAAAUAUUAUAUUAACAACGGUUGUUCAAAACCCUCAACCCGUGUUUUCAAAACCAACAUUAAUACCAUAUGAUCAACACUUUAAAACUUAUGCUUUUAGCAAAUUAACAAUUAGGGAAUAGUAACAUGCCUUGAAUACUAAGUAUGGCUGCUUGAGGGACUUGAGCGAUAUUUGGAAGUGUUUGAGUACGUUAUGAAUAAGAAAUAACUCCCUUAAGUGCUUUAUAAACGUGGGGUUUUAAAUAGGUAAGAAGGGAAUUGUUAAAAGUGCCCUAAAUUUUAAAACUAAAAUUUAGUCGUCAGUGACUAUGGGUCCCUAUACAACUCAUAGAUUCGUCAGUGACUAUGGGUCACUAUAUAGCUUGUAGAGACUCAUUAUGUCUUGUCACCACGAGUUGCAGCCAAGACAGCCUCAAGGUCACUCACAAUCUGUUGACCCUAUGAAUCAACUAAUACAGCUCGUAAUGGGACCGUAUGACUCAUAGGGUUCAGUCGUUGUUAUCACAAAACCCAAUUGGGGUAAACACUGGACAUUCUACGAUUUACACCCAAUGACUCGUAUCGAUUCCUUACGACUCUUAGUGAGACACUUGUACCUAGACCAGAACUUAGUUAUACACUUAUUAUUUAGGUAUAAUUGGGUCCCUAGGACCCGUCAAGACUCGUAGAAGGAGUCAUAGUUAGGACAGUGAGGAUAAAAUUUCAAAAAAUUUCAAGGACCAAAAACCUGAGGUGUUACAACAUAUGUACCAUAGGGGACUUGAAUAACCCGGUCAUAUAUCAAGGGUGACAUGAACAUCCGAUCAGUUAACAAGGAGGACUCUAACCACCGGGUCAUAAAAAAGGGGACUCAAAUCCCAGUCCUUCUAGACUCCCACACCGAUAAAUGAGGUUUCCAUUAUUGGUCCCUUGGGACCUAUACUUACAUGUCCUAGCUACACAACCCUCUUUAAGCCCAUUUAAAUUAUUUUUUCACACAUUCUCUUUUAAUUGAACAACGAUAUUCCUUAAGGCCUACACUGUUGGUAGCAUCAUUCUAACUAUACUUGCAAGGUAACAUGAUCAUACCAGUACAAUUCUAUUCACUUGGGGAAAAUAACCACCUUUGUUCAUUAAAUCAUGUGGGGGGAUGCCAUGAUCCCAUUUGUUCAGUAAAUCAAACUAUUACGUUUCAAUAAUCUCUUUAUAUCAUACAAUGGUUCCCAAAAAUAGUUCAAUGCAAAUAUACUCAUAUUCAAAGCCACUUUUAUAAGUUUGGGUUGGGGUUAUACCAAUUUAAUUAUCUACAUUCACGAAAUUAGGGGAGACCAUGACCUCCUAGUUUAUUCACCAUGCCAAUGCACCCCACAUGUUCAAAACCAUUAAUUCAAAUCACACAUUAUUCAUAAAAGCCAUGGGAAAAAUAAUUAAUUCAAUAAUGUUCAAUAACCUUCAACCCACAUUUAAAAUAUUCAAUAAAAUCAUAUGGGAACAAUUAUAAACACAUGAUUUUGAUAAAAUAAGACUUGGGGAAGUGUAACAUGCCUGAAAGUAUAGAGAAUUAUAGAGAGAAAUCAACUCUUGAUCCCUUAGAUGACCAAUUUUAAGAAACCCUAGCUUGUGCUUUGAAUAGGGAAUUUGAGAGAGGAAAGAGGGUGUUUAUGAUUGAUAAGGAUUAGAAAUAAUUGUCCCAAGAUGUUUUAUGUGUCUGGGGUCUCAGUGGGUAAAGAGGUAAAUGUAUAAAGUGCCCUUAAUUAAAAGCUAAAAAAUUAUCGCCAGUGACUAUAGGACAUUAUACGACUCGUAAGGACUCACUACGACUCGUUACUAUGAGUCAUAGUUUGGACAGUAGCUAAGGGAACCCUCUAUGGUGACCCUAUGACUUACACUAGGUGACCUAUUAAUAGACCCUACAACUCAUAGGGUCCUAGUCAUAACUAGAACAACAAUAUUUGGGGGUACAUACUGGUCAGAUGAUGAUUUAGACACCACAACUCGUAAUGAGUCUUUAUAACUCAUGACUUCUAGUAGUAAUCAAUACAAUAUCAAAGACACUACUCACUGCUUAGAUGAUUAUUUGGAUGCUAUGGAUUAUAAGGACACCUUACGACUCGUAAGAUGAGUAGUAGGUUGGGCAGUGAGUUCAAAAACUCAGAAAUUUUUAGGGACCAAAAUCAGAGGUGUUAAAAUUAUAUUCUUGUAUUGGUGGAUUAAUCAUUUGGUGAAGGGUUUUUGGGGUGAACGGGAGGAUUUGAAGCAUGCCAACUAGUCGAGGCAUGGUAAUGUUGAGGUAUGGAUAUGGGCGAGUUUAGUCGACCUUCCACAUUAUCCACUCUUCCACCUAUGUUGGACACAUUCCUUUAAGUGAACCCACAUUAAGGUCAAGUGAUCAUAUCUUAGUGUCCAUGGACUCAAUUUUAUGGCUGAGAGUUUCAAUGGCUACUAAAAUAACAUUUGUUGAGUGGUUUUCCAUGGUUUGUGAAGUUUAUCCUUAUAUAUCCAUUGUAACUACGAAGAAAGAUACUUACAAAAACAACAAACACGUUAGCAUUAGAGAAAUUAACCUCACAACUCUUCACACCUUCAUUUACCUCACACUUGGAUCACAAAUCUUGAAAGAUGGUUUGUACUCCGUGUGGUAGUCGAGGUCUCAAGUGCUACUCUUUAUUAGAUUGAAUUCUUAUUUGAAAUACUCAAAUUAAUGUGUAAGGUUUGAUCAAGAACUAACAAUAAAAUGAAAAAGACAAAAGCUUGAAAGAAAUAUGACGAUGAAAGAAUUCAAAUGCUAGAACUAAUCAACCAACUUAGUAGAUAAAUAACUAGUUUUUGAGUAGUUUUAAGAAUCAAGAAAUGAGUUUGAGAAUUAAGAAAUGAAACUAUAUGAAUCAAACCUGAGAAAAAGUGGAAUCAGAGAGUUUGAAAUGUAUUUUGGAGGCUUGAGAUGCAUUGGAAUGACUCGAUCUGCAUUUUGGGGACCUAGUCUAGCAGGUUGGGUGCAUGUAUAGCAUACCCUAGAUGCAGGAGUGCCUUGGCUUACUGGUUGGAUCUGCUUUUGGGUUGCUGCAGUAGCUUCAAUGCAGACAUAGGGUAGAUGGGGCACAGAUCAACCGCCCAAUCCAUUUGAAAUGCCAUUUUUAACCCUCUAGUGGUCCCACUUGUACUCUUCUCUUGCCAUAUUCUUGGAACCUUUGGAGAUGCUUUAGUACAAACAUUUUUUCACUCUUUUUCUUUCUAUUUUUGGAUCAAACACUCAUUAUUUGCCGAAUUUUCAACAUGAAGAUAGCAAUUUUUCCAUGAAUACCAAGAAUACCAACUUUUUCAAUUUCCUUACCUUAGCUCGGAAUGAGUUGAAAUUUUGAAUCUAGUCACUUUUAAAUCUUCUAAACUCAUUCCAAACAUAUAUUAUCUCAAAUUAUUUACCAAAAUUUUCAUCUCUUGCAACCACUUCAAAUUUCUUUAAACCCAAGCUUUCAUCAAAGGUAGAAUGUUCAAUAUAGCUCCGAUUUAGCUUAAAUUCAUUUUCUAGACUCCUAUAGUGUUUGAGAAUAGGAAUCUAACACUAGAAAUAAAAUAAAACACUAAAAUCAAGGACUCAAAUUUUGACCUAACCCUAAAAACGUGAAUAGUAAUUUUUCUUUGAUUUUCAAAUUUUCAAGACGACUAGACCCAAGUUUGACUUUGUGGGAACGAAAUCAAGUUUGGAUGUGAUACCAAAUAAUGAAGAUCAAUCUAUGAAAGUGAAAUAUUGACACAAAAGUAGAGAUAAUCGGUAAAGAUAGAAAUUAGACACAAAUAAGUAAUUAAGAACAAAAGAAUAUAUUAAACUCUAAUACCCUCAACUACAAUUUUAAUCAAAUACCUAAUUCUUAGGUGACCAAGAGGGAGAUAAUCGCCCUAAAAAACAACGUUUCUAAUCCAAGUUUCAAUAAAAGUUUACCAAUUAUCUAACUCAAUAGAGAAACAUUUAUCAAUAAUCAAGAUAAACUCAGAAAUAAUGUUGGGUCCCAAGUAUUUAAAGUUUAGGGCUAAUUAUUACACAUUUUGGGGUCAAAAAGUGACCUGAUUGUAAGAAAAAGCCCACACAAUCUGGUUGAGUGGAUUUGAAGUAGUUGAGGCGCAUCCCAGGGACACUAGGGACGGUUUUGACCUGCUCUUGAAAUGCUAGAGUAGGUAUAAGGAAAAUCCAAAGAACCUUGGGCGCAUGUCCAUCCCAAUGGGCUUUCUAGCCUCUUUUUGCAUUCCUUUGUCUCUUCCAAAGAUCCUUGACCCAAUGUGAGUACAAUCAUCAUCAAAUGACACCCUCUUGAUGGUAAAAAGACUUUUUUAAGUACAUCUCACUUCAUGAUUUAUCCUUGAAUCCUUUGAAGCUCUUUGGUUUGGCUUCUAGUAAAAUUCUUAGAUCUAAUCCAAAUUGUAUCAACCAUGAAAUCUAUAUUUAUUGCAUUAUAUAAAGAAGUGAAGAAAUUGAAUGACUCUAAAAUUUCUUAAAAGAUAUUCCUUAUUGCCCCAACUUUUGGUACCUGUAUGCAUGCACAGUGACAGUUAAGCUGUGAUAGGUAGGACAUGGAACAUGAUGUAUAACAAAAAAUUUUAUCAUAUAUGAAAAAAAUAUAAUACCAUUCGAAAACUACUCUCUAGUGAAAUUAUCACAAUUGACUAUGUGAGGUCAAAGAAUAACGUGUCUAAUCCAUUUACAAAAGUCCUAUCUAGAGAUGGAGUUGAGAGAUCAUCGAAAGGAAUGAGCUUAUGGUUAGGACAAUUCAUCACAGUGAUAACUCCACCUAGAAGAUUAAAGAUCUCAAGAACUAGAUUCAAGGAUAUCAAACAAAUUUGUGACUAAUGGUUUAACAUUGUCAAUUACUCAAUCCAUUCUCUUGAUGAAAAUAAUGUUCAUGAAACAAGAUAAGUCUUGUGGUGUGAAGUUUUUUAAUAGUUUUUAUGUUUGUCAUGUUUGACCACAUAGUUUGAUCUAUAGGAUUAAAUAUUUAGGAAUCACCUAAGUGAGGGUGAAGUGAAAGCUGCUUCAAGGAGAAUGUAGGAAAGGCCUAUUCUCUAAGCUCUCAGGAAAUCAGAAAAUGUUUUAGUUGAAAGGAACAAAAUUUUCAGAAUAAAAAAUAGUAAAAGGAUGAUCGUGUGACUUGUAUUGUCUAGGUAUACAUUAAAGUUUGAUAGUUCAAAGAUAUCGCAUCUACCGACUAACCGAGUGUAUUCGAUUAAAGCUCACUAUGGAAAGUUCAAAGGAAAACCUACUUAUCUAGAUGUACUUAGUCUUUACUUGUACAUCACACACUUGUCUAUAUAUUUCUUGAUAAAAUAGUCAUUUCCCAUUUUUAUUGGCGACUAUUACAUUUUUCAGAGGUGUAAUAAAAAAUGAAUAGGUGGUCUUCAAAAAGACAUCAAGAGAAAGGAUAAAAUUUGAAUAGUCAUCUUCUUAGUUUGGAUGGUUAUGACCUCUCCAAUGGGUUGCGACUUUUCUAAAGAGUUGCAUCUUUUCUGAAAAGUUGUACCUUUAUGAAGAGGUGCACCGUUCUGAAUUAUUGCAUCUCUUCAUGAAGCAACAUCUUGAUAGUUAUAAAUAUCUAAUUUUUUUCUCAGGUAAAUACAUAAAAUUUUGAUGUAAAAAAACUUUUUUUUUUUUGAAAAACUCUAGAGUGAUUUGCUUCCGUUGAGUAUGUUUGUAGUUCAACAGAGUUUGAGGUACCGCUAUUCUAUCGAAGUGAUUUAUUUUAUCCAGGGAACAUGUAUACCAUAACCUUGGGUAGUUGAGGGAAAUAAUUUUUUUAAGGACACACAGUGAAUUCGGUGAACUUGAAUCUUCCAUUAUUCAUCUCUUUUUAAACAUUUGAUUUUGCUAUUUUUCAGAAAAUAAUUUGAACUUUAUUUUCGGCUGUUCAUAAGUUGGGUUGAACUUAUUGUUAAAAGUUUAAAGUUGUGAAUAUAGAGUUACAAAUUCAUUUGAUUGCCAUACUUUAGUUUGAACAUGUGCUUGAAGUUUUUUUUGUAAAAUAUAGAUUUUACUAAACUCGAAAAACAAUAAAACUUGUGGUACAAAAUAAUCUAUAAAUAUUUGUGUGGUUUUAAACCAUUAUAUUAAAAGUAAAAGGUGGUCAAUUGUGAAGUUGAGGGUUUUCUUUAUAGUAACCUGACAUUCUUUUUGAGGUAAAUUAAAUAGGAAAUUGUUAGAGUUUUGACCCAAAUUUUGUUGAUCCAGCCCAAAAAGUUUCACAGUGCGACCCAUGUUUGUGAUUUUCAAUAGGGUCUAUGGUGGUAGCAUAGGGAUUGGGCCGAUAGGCCCAUGGACUUUUAUGUUUUUUGGGCCUAGGGCUUAUUUGUAUGCACACAUUAUAUAAGUGCAUUUGGUGGGCUUUUUUUGUGUAUCCAUAAAAUACUUAUUUUCCACAUUGUACUCCUCUCUUUUUAUUAUAAUGAAACAUCCUCUGCCUCUACCCGUGAUUUUUCCUGUAAGGGUUUUUACGUAAAUCUGUGUGUUCUGUUUUCUUUCUGCUUAUUAUUGCUUUAUUUCUGCCCGAUUCCUAACAAACUGGUAUCAAAGACUGUUUGAUUGUUUUCUCGAGGAUAGCAACCAUGAAGUAUGAUAUUCUGCUGUUGGAUUGCAACACCAGAUUUUUAUUACGACAGGUUGAGAUACGGGCUAUGCUUGCGCAGAUGGAUUUGGAUGAUGCUUUAUUAGGGUUUAAGAAGAUUCCCUUAUCGUGGACGGAUGAGGAUAAACGACGUUAGGAUCAGAAGGCUCUAUCUCAGAUCCACCUUCAUUAGAUUCUAUAGGAUAUUUUGAAGGAGACCACAACCGCUGCGUUGUGGUUGAAACUGGAAUCACUUUGUAUGAUGAAGAUCCUAACUAGUAAGUUGUAUCUCAAGUAAUGACUUUAUUCCUAUCGCAUGUUUGAGGGUGCGUCCUUGGAGGAUCAUCUAUCUAUAUUUAAGAAAAUGGUCUCUGAUUUAGAGACUCUGGAGGUUAAGUACGAUGAGGAAGAUCUAAUGUUGAUUUUUUUGUGUUUGUUGCCUGCAUCAUACACGAAAUUUAGGGAUACAAUUUUAUAUAGUCGUGAUAACCUGACUAUUGAUGAAGUUUAUGAUGCGUUGUUCUUUAAGGAGAAGAUAAAAUAUUUUGUGAAUGGUUCGAAGACUUAAGGAGAUAGUCUCAUUGUUCGAGAACGAAGUACUCAUGAGUGAAAUUCUGGGGGUGAUGACAGGAAUAGGUUAAAAUCUAAAAAUAGAAACAAACCUAUAAUUACUGCAAGAAGAAGGGCCAUAUCAAAUCUGAGUGUUGAAAGUUACAGAAUAGAGAGAAAAUAGAAGCUCCAAAACCUAAGGAAAACCAACCAGAGAAUUUUGGUAAAGCCAGUUUUAUGGAAGACGGUGGUAGUGAUGGAGAACUCUUGGCAGUUUCUGAUGGUAACUCGAAACUCUAUGAGGAUUGGAUUCUUAAUUCAGCUUGCACGUUUUAUAUAUAUCGUAAUCAGGAUUGGUUUGCAAUAUAUGAAACAAUCUCUAAAGGUGCUGUGUUGAUUGGAAAUAACAUACCUUAUUAGAUAGCUGGUAUUGUAACAAUCAGGAUCAAGAUAUUUGAUGGGGUUGUGUGGAUACUUGGUGAUGUAUGUCCCAGACCUAAAGAGAAAUCUUAUUUCCUUGAGUACCCUUGAUUCAAACGGUUAUUGGUACACUAGUGAAGGUGGUGUCCUGAAGGUUACUAAAGGUGCUCUUGUUGUGAUGAAGGGACAGAGAAAUUCUACAAAUUUGUAUGUCCUGCAAGGCUCUACUGUUAUAGGUGAUGUAACUAUUUUUACCUCCCAUCUCUCAAAAAUUAAUGUUGCUAAACUUUGUGCACUUGGGGCAUAUGAGUGAAAGCAGGAUGGAUGAACUAAGCAGGAGAGGACUUCUUGAUGGACAGAGUAUUACCAAAUUGGAGUUCUAUGAGUACUACAUUUUUGGGAAGCAAAAGAGAGUUAGAUUCACUAAAGGUAUUCACUCAACUAAGGGCACACUUGAUUACAUUCAUUCUGAUCUCUAGGGUCCUGCUAGAGUACUUUCUAGAGGAGGCACUAAUUACUUGUUGACUUAUAUUAAAAACUAUUCCAUAAAAGUUUGGGUGUUCUUUCUGAAGCAAAAAAUUCAUAUGUUGCCUACUUUCAAGAAGUGGAAGACUAUGAUUGAAAAGUAUAUAGGGAAGCAGGUAAAACGCCUUCGGACCAAUAAUGGUUUAGAGUUCUGUUCUAAUGAAUUUAAUUCUUUGUACAAGUCAGAAGGAAUUGUAAGGCACUCGAUAAUUUGUCAUACUUCGCAGCAGAAUGGUGUGGCCGAACGAAUGAAUAGGACUAUAAUAGAGAAGGUGCGUUGUAUGCUCUCUAAUGCUGGUUUACCCAAGUCUUUUUGGGCUGAAGAUGCUUUCACUUCUUGCCUUCUUAUUAACCGCUCCCCCUUAGUCGCGAUUGAUAAAUAGACUCCACAAAAGGUGUGGUCUGGUACUCUUACUAGUUAUUCUGAUUUGAGGAUAUUUAGAUGUCUUGUGUAUGCUCAUAUUGAUAAUGGAAAGUUGGAAUCUAGAUCUGUUUACUUAAUUAUGGAUUAUUAUCUUGGUGUUAAAGGUUAUAAGCUUUGGUGUCCAAAAGCAGGAAGGUUAUAAUUAGCAGGGAUGUUGUGUUUGAUGAAACUGCUAUGCUUCGGGCUCCUUUCGAAUCUAGUACUUUGCCCCCAGAUGAGCUUAGUGACAUGAAUCAGCAAAAAUCAAACACCCAUGUUGAAUUGCAGAUUGGAGUAGAGUCUAUCUAAGUGCCUACUUCUCAGUCUAGCUCGGAGAUACAUAGUGAUACUCUUUCUUCUUCAUCACCAGUAAAGAUAGGACUAGAAGAGAUAUAAGACCUUUUCAGAAGUAUGCUAAAGCUAAUUUGGUUGCUUAUGCAUUGAGUGUAGCAGAAGGUAUUGAUUUCAGUGAAGAUCCUUCUUCUUACUCAGAGGCAGUUAGUUAUGAUAAUUUCGAUCGAUAGAUAAUUUCUAUGUAGGAGGAGAUGGAAUCACUUCAUAAGAAUGGAACAUGGGAUCUGGUGAGAUUGCCUAAAGAUAAGAAAGUUUUCUGUUGCAAGUGGGUAUUCAAAAAGAAAGAAGGUACAUCUAGAGUUGAAGAUGCUAGGUACAAACCAAGACUAGUUUCUAAAGGUUAUAGCCAAGUUCCAAGUAUCGACUUUAUAGAUGUGUUUUCUCCAGUUGUAAAGCAUAGUUUGAUUCGAGCAUUGCUUGGUAUUAUGGCCAUCCAUAAUCUUGAGCUUGAGCAGUUGGAUGUCAAAAUUGCAUUUUUACAUGGAGAACUUGAGGAGGACAUCUAUAUGUAGCAACCAAAGGGCCUUGUAGUCUCAGGAAAGGAGGACUAUGUAUUCUUGCUAAAAAAGUCUUUUUAUGGCUUAAAGAAGUCGCCCAGGCAGUGGUAUAAGAGGUUUGACUCUUUUAUGACCUCUCAUAUGUUUCAGAGGAGAAACUAUGAUAGUUGUGUCUACUUAAAGGAAGUAAGUGAUGGUUUAUUCAUAUAUCUUCUCUUGUAUGUUGAUGAUAUGUUGAUUGCAGCAAAGGAUAUGAGAGAGAUAAUAAAAGUAAAAGUCCAACUUAGUAAGGAGUUUUAUAUAAAGGAUCUAGGAACAGCAAAGAAGAUUCUUGGCAUAAAGAUUCUGAGGGAUAAAAAGAAUUGUAAGUUGUACUUGAGUCAGAAAGGAUAUAUUGAAAAAGUUCUUCACAGGUUUAAUAUGCAAAAUGCCAUACUUGUAAGUACUAUAUUGGUAGCUCACUUCAAACUCUUGGUCACUUUAUCUCCAAAAAUAGAUGAUGAGUGUGACUAUAUGUCCUGAGUUUCAUACUCUAGUGCUGUUGGGUCUCUUAUGUAUGGGAUGAUGUGUUCCCGAUCAGGUUUAUCUUAUGCCAUCAGUGCAGUUAGAAGAUACAUGGCAAGUCCUGGAAAAGAAUAUUGGAAAGCAUUUCCGUGGAUUUUUAGAUACUUGCAUAAAUAUGCUGAUGUUUGUUUGCAGCUUGGGCGAAAUAGAGAUGGAGUAAUCGGGUAUGCUGAAUCUAAUUUUGCUGGAGAUCCUGAUAAAAGGAGAUCCCUUACAGGCUAUGUUUUCACCAUUGGUGGUUGUGCUAUUAGUUUGAAAGCUACCUUACAGACUACAGUUGCUUUGUCAAAUACUAAGGCAGAGUAUAUGGCUAUUACAGAGGUUUUUAAGAAAGCUAUUUGGUUGAAGGGUCUGUUUGGUGAACUCAACAAAGACUUACAAAUUACUGUUGUCUUUUACGACAGUCAUAGUUCUAUCUUCCUUACGAAAGAUUAGAUAUUUUAUGAGGGGACAAAGCACAUCGAUGUUCGGUAUCAUUUUGUGUGUGAAAUUAUUGCUCAUGGUGAUAUUGUGGUGAGCAAGAUUAAUACUCAUGAUAAUCCUGCUGAUAUGAUUACCAAGACACUACCAAGUGCCAAGUUUGAGCAUUGCUUGGACUUGGUUAGUGUUAGCUGUUAAGAUGUUCCAUUAGGGGCUUUUGUGGAAGAGUUGUGCUAUUAGUUUGAAAGCUACCUUACAGACUACAGUUGCUUUGUCAAAUACUAAGGCAGAGUAUAUGGCUAUUACAGAGGUUUUUAAGAAAGCUAUUUGGUUGAAGGGUCUGUUUGGUGAACUCAACAAAGACUUACAAAUUACUGUUGUCUUUUACGACAGUCAUAGUUCUAUCUUCCUUACGAAAGAUUAGAUAUUUUAUGAGGGGACAAAGCACAUCGAUGUUCGGUAUCAUUUUGUGUGUGAAAUUAUUGCUCAUGGUGAUAUUGUGGUGAGCAAGAUUAAUACUCAUGAUAAUCCUGCUGAUAUGAUUACCAAGACACUACCAAGUGCCAAGUUUGAGCAUUGCUUGGACUUGGUUAGUGUUAGCUGUUAAGAUGUUCCAUUAGGGGCUUUUGUGGAAGAGGUGAAAAGUUUGUCUUGAAAUGGAUUUGAGUUCUGAAUUAGAAUUCGCGUCAAGGUGGAGAUUGUUAGAGUUGGGACCCAAAUUUUGUUGAUCCGGCCUAGAAAGUUUCGCGGUGUAACUCAUGUUUGUGAUUCUUAAUGGGGUUUGUGGUGGUAGCAUAGGGAUCGGGUUGAUAGGCCCGUAGACCUUUAUGUUUUUUGGCCCUAGGACUUAUUUGUAUGCACAUAUUAUAUAAGUGCAUUUAGUGGGUUGUUUUGUGUAUCCAGAAAAUACUCAUUCUCCACAUUGUACUCUUCUCCUUUCAUUAUAGUGAAAAAUCCUCUGCCUUUGCCCGUGGCUUUUUCCGCAAGGGUUUCCAUGUAAAUCUGUGUGUUCUUGUUUUCUUUCUACUCGUGGUUUGCUUUAUUUCUGCCCUAUUCCUAACAGAAAUGAUGCCACAUAAAAUGAGACGGAAGGAGUGAGUUUGCUACAUUGUCGUAUCUUAUAUAUAAGUUCGGAUAGAAAAAAGAAGAAUUUCAGCGAGUGAACAAUAGCAUAAGAUCAUUCAAUUUGUAGUGAAUCUAAAUUGAGACAUAUUUAAAUGAGUGACGAUAACAAUAAAGAUUUAUAUGUACUCGAUUUCAAUUUGUUUUAAGAUUGAGCUGAGGUAAUAAUUAUCAUUGUUGAUGUGGAAAAUACCUCACAACUUGUAAUGUUUAUUAAAUUUGUGCUUCUCUACACUCCUUUGAUAUUUAUUCGAUGUAGAUCACUAAAGGAUUAUAUAUUGUUUGUAUUUUGGUUACUUCUUUUUUCUAGACUAUUAUUUAUUGAGUCGAGGGGUUAUUAGAAACAAUCUCUCUAUUUUGAAAAUAGAGAUAAGAUAUAUGUACAUUCUAACCUCCACAUAUCUCACAUUGUUGGAUUAAAUUGAGUAUGUUAUUAUUAUUAUAGUAGAGUACUGGAGAGAACAAUUAUUUAGGAAAAUUUUCUUUUAUUAGUCCUUAAGAAGAAAAGUUGAAAUAUUUUUGUUAUUAAUACAAAAUCAAUAAGUUAGUUUGUGAAUCCAUGUGAAAUUUUGACGUGCGUGUACCGUAAGUACUGCGUUUGAUCUAGUGAUUUUUUUUUUUCUUUAACAAAAAAACCUGCAAAUAAACAUAAAUAUAUAAACAAAGGAAGGUAAAAUACUUUUUACACAAGAAUGGAGUAGCAAGUUGGUGGAAUUCUUACAUGGCCCUAAUUCUUUUCUUAACUUCAUGUCACUAUAUAUUUCUAGUGGAUCCUCAAAAGUACUUUUGUACGUUUUCACAUUCAAAAUUUUAAGACGAAAUUCCUUUUAAAAAAGAAACUAAUAAGUAAUACUAACUUUCAAUUAUGCACAAACAUUUUUGUUGUUGUUGUUAGAGUACUAUUCUUAAUAAUUAUAUCAGGAUUUUGAAAUUGAGACCUAAGAAACCAGCCAAAAAAGAAAUUAAGAAUGUUCUAGUUUUCGGUAUUCAUAAGAUUUAAUAAAAAUAAUAUAAGUAUAUUUUUAUACAUGUAUGUAUAUUGGGAGAAUACUCACAAAAAUACCUGAGGUUUGACCGGAUUACCAGUUGAGCAUAUUGAACUUUGCGGGGGAGGGGGGGUCCUAUUACCCACCUAUACUUUUUCAAGUGGAAUUAAUUUCCCCCAGACUUUUUUAAAGUGAAAUUAAUUCCCCCCGAAACGUUAUACCCAGUUUUGACGGUAGGAAGUGUAGUACACAAACUCUUUCUUCUCCAUUUUAUCACUUUUCAACAUUUUUCAUCAUUACAACCAUAUUAAAGAUUCCACAACUCAAAUUCCUCUUACAAAUCAAAUUCCAAAUGAUUCCAAUGAGUCAAUUUCAAAUUUCAAGUCCAUUCUUAUAAUCUUGUUCACCAUUUUUUUCACCAAAUCGAACUAAAUAAAUAAAAUUUGAAGAAAUGGAGUCUUCAAUAAUUGGUACUAGCAGUACAUGGCAUUUCAAUAAUUGACUUCAAUAAUUGAAAACUUCAAUAAUUUCAAUGGGAGAAUACUCACAACAAUUGAAGAAAGUUGAAAUUGAACAACUGAAGAAUUCCGGAAUAAAGUUGUUCAAUUGUUGAAUUGAAGACUUCCGGAAGACCCCAUAAUUGAAAUUGAACAAUUCAAGACUUCCAGAAAUUUUUUUAAUGAAGUUACUUUCGGAAUUAAACAAUAGUACUAGAAAUACAAGUGGAGUACCAAUCAAAAUAAAAUUGACUUCCGGAAGUGUAGUACGUUAUAGACUUCAAUUGUUGAAGACUUCAAUUGACAACGGAGAAGUCAAUUAUUGAAGACUUCAAUAAUUUCAAUUGAAAAUUGACUUCGAUAAUUGAAGAAAGUUUUCAAUUGUAGAAGUUAAUUACUACUCCUAAAUAAUUGACUUUAACAAUGGAGUCUUCAACGAAAAUGUAAUACAUUGUUCAAUUUCAAUUCAAUAAUGGACCAACCAUUGUUGAAAACUCCAUCGUUGAAGAGAGAAGAGAGAAGAGAGAAGAGAGAAGAGAAAUAAUGAAAAAAUAACUAAAAAAUAUAAAACUUUUACAAAUUAGAAAAUUGAGGGGCGGUUUGGUAAAAAAAAGGUUUAUAGCAUUUUUCAACACUUUCACGCGCUCAAUACGCGUGACUUACACGCAAUGGUCCAAGUGGGAAGAUAUAUGCCAUUAAAAUAAAAAAAGUCUGGGGGUGGGGGAUAAUAGGACCCCUGCAAAAUUCAAUAUGCUCAACUGAUAAUCCGAUCAAACUUCAGAUAUUUUUGUGAGUAUUCUCCCUAUGUAUAUUUGUCACUUAUUAAUUACAAGGUGAAAAAUAAAUAUUUUUUUUGGCAACUAAAACUCACUACUAAGCUAAUCAACAGAUCAUCUCCACCAACAACCUCAAAGUUAGCCAAUAUAAUCAAAGAUUUUAGGAUUGGUUCAAACUCUAAUGCAUAGCAUUAAUUUAAGUCCUCGAAUUAGCUCGUCCAAUUCAGUGCUUGUUUUCUGAAAAAUUGAAAAAUCCUUAUACUUCUCUCUAUCCAAAUAGCAUGCAUAAUUACUGCCAGGCUAGCUUUCAAAAUCACCUCUCGUGUGUGUAGUACCCUUGUUCUUUUCUCCAUCCAUUUUCGCAUAUUCUCCCAAUCUUUCCAGCUUUUCUGCAUCUAUAUAACAUUUCAAAAGACCAGUCACAACACAUUGAAAGAGCAAAUAAUUUAUGGUUUUAAGAUGUGUCUGAUAGAAAACACAAAUAGUAUCCAGAUUGAUGCUCCACUUCCAAAGUUUGUCCUUAGUCAUGAUCUUACCAUGCAUACUCACACAACAUAAAUACAUUCUUAGGCUCUACAUUAUUAUGGCAAAUCAGUUUAGUCCAGGGAAUAUUAUCAACUUUACUUGCGAUUGUCUCGUAGGCUUUAGCUAUCAUGAACUUUCUUUUGAUAACUAUCUAAGUGAUAUCUCCCAAGCAAUAGAGUGAUGUACCUAAUCAAUCCACAACCUAAUAACUAUCUAAGAUGUUCUGCCUUAUAAUAGAGUGAUGUACCCAAGCAAUCCACAACCUAAUCUUAUGUUUACUGGGAGCCCAUAACAUCUUACAUAUUGCUGCUGUAUUCUAUAUUUGGAGAUUGGUUAAGUUAAGACCUCUUACCCUCCUCAGUUGACAAAUUUUCUUCUAAGCCACAAGAUUUUUCUUGGUAAUUGCCACAUCUCCUGCCCAAAGAUAACUCCUGCAAGUAGUUUCUACAAGCUUAAUAACCUUCUUAGGCAUUAAGAAUAAUUGGGACCAAUAAGUUUGAACACCAAAAAGUACAAAUCGUAUGAGCUGCAACCUCCCUGCAUAAUACAAGCUCCUAGCCAUCUAAGAUGUUAUUUUAGAUGUAUUUUUUUCUACUGGAUGUUUGUAUUGUUGCACAAAAAGCCUCUUGGUAGAAAAAAGCACCCCUAAAUAUUUAAAUUGAAGUUCUCCUUUAUCAUACUUUAGUGCUUGCAAGAUUUGUUAUUGUCAUUUGGUUUCACACAAAAAAAUACUUGACUUUUAGCCAUAUUAGCUUUCAAACCAGAGGCUGUACAGAACAUAUCAAAUCAUCUCUUUAGGCAUAAGAGUGAACUUAGAACACAUCUAGAAAAUAGUAAUAAGUGAUUUCCAAAACAUAGGUGAGUAAUAAUCUGUUUCUUACAUCUAGAAUGAUAGGAAAAAGUUUUAUUUUUCAACCCCUUUAAGUAACUAUUAAGAUACUCCAUAACCAACCAAAAUGUGUCAGGAGACAUAGGAUCCAUUGUUUCAAUCCCUCGUCUAGAUUUUAUAGUAUCCAUUAUUUGUCCAUUGUCAAGAAACGUAUAGCUCAUUAUUUAUAUACACUUGAUGCUCCAGUUAGUCAUUUUAUGUGGAAAGCCUAAUUCAUGCAAAACUUGCUCAAUAAAACUCCAUUCCAAAGAGUCAUUGGCCGUUUGAGGUCUACUUUUAUCAUGCAUCUGGAAGAGAUUUAUUUUCUAGUAUAACCCUUGAUUAGCUAAUGACUUAGCACAAUAUUAUUAGUGGUGAGUCUACCAGGUACAAAAGCAGAUUGGCUAUGCCCCAUUACAUCUUUGACAUAUUUUGAAAUCUACCAAUAAUAACCUUAGAUAUGAUCACAUAAAGAAUAGUGCAGCAUGGUAUAGGUCUAAAAUAUUUCAUGAUUUCAGGUUGAUAUAUCCAUGGUACUAGGGUUACAACAGUGUUAUUCAUGGCUUUUAAGAUUUGAUUCUUCUCCACAAAAAACUCCUUUAUGAUCCAACUGUUAUUUACAACAUUUUUGGGUACAAGAAUCUGUAUAUACAUAAAACAAUAACUUCAACACAAGUUCAAGCCUAAGACUAGAACACUUAUGAAGUUCCUUAACACCUCCAACACAAGAUUAUAAAUAAUCUAUGCAAGCAGUAUGUUAACUUUCAGAAAUGAGAUGAAACAGAAUUUUAAGGAAAAGUCCCCCGAAUUCACGGAGUGUCCUUAAGGAAUAAUUCUCCUCACUGUACCCGAGGUUAUGGAAUCUUCCCGUCCUUCAAUCCAAACAAUAGAGGUAUCUUAAAUUAUUAGAUUCUCCGAACUCACUCAACAACUUAAUGAUCACACAGAGUUUUUGUAUUGAAGAAAAGUGUUUUUGCUAUAAAAAAUUACUCUAAUACUUGAGGAUUAUAUCAGGUAUUUAUAGCCUUUAAUGUAUCUUUAUAUAAAAGAUAUAUUGGUGUUCAGCAGAAAGGCACCUUUUUAGCAGCAGUCACGUCCCUGCGCCCAGUAUGUGCUGGACAUACGCCUGUUCUACGGUCACAGGUAACGUUUGGCAUAUUCCAGUAGAUUCUGCACUAUAUUUGCGCCCACAUGUCAAGUACCUACACUGCGUCUGUGCCCGCAGUUCAUCCUACAAUGCAAAAUAGUGUGCCUUUUCCCUCAAAGGGUCGCAUCCCUUCGUGAUGAGUUGUGUAUGUGUCUGCAGGGCAUAAAAAUAUGCCCGCACUUGGAAAAAAAUAAUACUAUCAGAUUUUGGAUUAAAAAUUUCACUUGUAAACAAGUUUCAAACAAAUUUUAUCUAAAAAAUUAGAUCUCACUGAUCAAUCAUUUGAUGAAUCCAAAUUCGAAGUCGAAGACGAAGUUGAGUUGAGGGAGUGACAGCGACGACGGUGCGAGGUACUACCUUGUUCUAGCCUCACUAUCCAUGUGGAGUUAGUAUUUCACAUUAUAAGUGGAUCCGGCACAUUAUCCUUUGACUUUACAUAGUCAAUAGUGAUAAUUCCACUAGAAAGAAGUUCUCUAAUAGAAAUAUGUCUCCGUCUUAUGUGACGAGAUUUGUCAUUGUAUAUCAUGCUCUCUUCCCUACUUAUUUUCGCUUAGCUAUCAUAGUGUAUACAUACUGGUGCCACUGGUUUGGGUCAAUAAGGAAUAUCUUCCAAGAAAUUUUAGAGUAAUUUUGCUUCUUCACCGGCUUUAUCUAAUGUGAUAAAUUCAGAUUUCUUUGUAGAGCGAGCAAUACAAGUCUGUUUGGAUGAUUUCCAAGAGACUGCUCCUCCACCGAUAGUAAAUAAAUAUCCACUCAUGGAUUUUACUUCGUUCGAUCUAGUGAUCCAAUUUGCAUCACUAUAUCCUUCAUGUACAGCAGGAUAUUUAUUAUAAUGCAAAAUGUAUUCUUGAGUGUAUUUAAGAUACCCCAAAACUCUUUUCAUUGCCACCCAAUAAGUUUUAUUAGGAUUACUUAUGUACCGACUCAACUUACUUAUAGUGCAUGCUAUAUCUGGUCGUGUACAGUUCAUUAUAUACAUUAAACAUCCCAAUACUCUCGCGUACUCCAAUUGUGAGUCACUUUCACCUUCAUUCUUUCGAAGUGAAAAGCUCACAUCCAAUAGAGUCUUGGCAAUACUAAAUUCCAUAUACUUGAAUUUUUCAAGUACCUUUUCAUUGCAAUGAGACUAUGACAAUGCCAAACCUUGUGGAGUUCUAUGGAUUUUUAUUCCUAAGAUCACAUCCGCAACUCCAAGGCCUUUCAUAUCGAACAUGCUCUCGAGCAUUCAUUUCAUUGCAUUUAUGUUAGAAAUGUCUCUACUGAUGAUCAACAUAUCAUCCCCAUACAAACAUAUAAUGACUUGGUGAUUUGGAGUGUCUUUAAUGUAAACACAUUUAUCACAUUCAUUUAUCUUGAACCCGUUUGCCAACAUGGUUUGGUCAAACUUUGUAUGUCAUUGUUUAGGUGCUUGUUUUAGUUUAUAAAGUGACGUAACAUGUUUACACACCUUAUUUUCCAUUCCUGGAACCACAAAAUCCUCAGGCUAUUCCAUGUAGAUUUCUUCCUCUAAUUCUCCAUUUAGGAAUGCUGUUUUCACAUCCAUUUGAUAGAUUUAAAAACAAUAUAUUGCCGCUAAGGAAAUUAACUUCUGAAUUGACGUUAUCCUCAUUACUGGUGAGUAUGUAUCAAAGUAAUCAAAGCCUUUCUUUUGUUUGAAGCCUUUUACAACAAGUCUUUCCUUCUACUUAUCAAUAGUACCAUCAACUUUCAUUUUCCUUUGGAACAUCCAUUUAGAGCCUGAAGGUUUAUUUCCUGGUGGAAGAUCAACCAACUCCUAAGUAUGGUUUCUUAAGAUUGAAUCAAUCUCACUAUCGACGGCCUCAUUCCAAAAUGAUGAUUCCAAAGAUGCCAUCACUUCCUUAAACAUUUGAGGCUCAUUUUCUAAGAGAAACAUUACAAAAUCUGAUCCAAAAGAAGUUGACAUUCUUUGAUGUGUUUGUAUCUUGCAUUCUCAUCAUUAUGUACAUUCUGACUUAGUUCAUCUCAAGGUCGUUUAGACCCUUCACUAGACUGUCCAUGUCUAGUUUUUAUGGGUAAAUGUUUUCAAAGAAUUCAACAUUAUCUGAUUCAAUUACCGUAUUUUCAUUGAUAUCCAGAUGUUCAGAUUUAUGAACCAAAAACUGACAUGCUUUACUAUUUUUAGCAUAUCCUAUGAACACGCAGUCCACCAUCCUUGGUCCUAUCUUAACUUUUUUAGGCAUAGAAACUUGGACCUUUGCUAGACACCCCACACUUUGAAAUAUUUCAAGUUGGGUUUCCUUUCUUUCUAUUUUUCAUAAGGAAUUGAUUGUGUCUUAAUAUAGGGAACUCUAUUGAGUAUUCAAUAUGCUGUAAGGAUAGCCUCCCCCCACAAGAUUUGCAGUAAACCUGAACUUAUAAGUAAGGUAUUUAUCAUUUCCUUCAAAGUUAAUUUUUUUCUUUUCAUAAUUCCAUUAGAUUGAGGUGAAUACGGGGCUGUAGUUUGAUGGAUAUUUCCAUUCUCUACACAUAUUUCGGAGAAGGAAGAUUCAUAUUCUCCGCCCCUAUUACUUCUUAUUAUUUUUAUAUUUUUCUCUAACUAAACUUCAACUUUAGAUUUGUAUUGCCUAAACACAUCUAUUGAUUCAUCCUUACUAUUUAACAAAAAGACAUUACAAUAUCUCAUGCAAUCAUUGAUAAAGUUAAGAAAUACUUUUUCCCACCACGUGAUGGUGUUGACUUCAUAUCACAAAUGUCUGUGUGUUUUAAGUCUAAGGGAUUGGAAUUCCUUUUAACGGACUUAUAAGGAUGCUUUGCAUACUUUGAUUCCACUCAUAUUUGACACUUUAAUUUAUUGCACUCAAAGUUUAGCAAAACUUCUAAGUUAAUCAGUUUUCAUAAUGUUUUGUAAUAAACAUGGACAAAUCGUUCACUGCACAAAUUGUAAGACUCAAGAAAGUAAGAAUAAAUUAAACUUUUAUUGAUUUAAACAUUAAUUACAUUCAUUUUGAAUAGGCCCUCAUUGAGGUAACCUUUUCCUACAUACACUUCUCCUUUACUAAGUAUAAUUUUUCUGAAAAUAAAUACACAUUUGAAUCCAUUCAUGUCUAGAAGCAAAACUGAAAUCAAGUUAUUUCGUAAUUCCGAAACAUACAAGACAUUAUUAAGUGUCAACAUUUUGCCGGAAGUCAUCUUCAAGCACACUUUUCCUGUUCCUUCAACAUUUACAAUAGUGGAGUUUGCGAUGUAGAUCUUUUCUUCUACUUGAGCUAGAGCGAAUGUUGAAAAAACCUUUUUUUAGCACAAACAUAGCGGGUGGAACCAAAAUCCAUUCACCAUUCACGAGGAUUUCCUACCAUGUUGCAUUCGAAAAUCAUAGCACACAGAUCAUGAAUUUCUUCUGUGCUAGACAAUUCAUAGACUUAUGGACAAUCUUGCCACAGUUGAAACACUUUUCCUUGAAUUUUUUCUUGGGUUGAUUGCUUUCAUUCCUAGCUUUCUUUCACUUUUUAGAGUUGUUUUGGUCAUCUUCUACAAUGUUUGCUCCAUUCAUUUCAGUAUUGCCUCUUGACUUUCUUUCUGCAGCCUUAUUAUCUUGUUUAAUACACAGUCAUACAAUCAGAUCUUUGACAGACAUAUCCUUACAUUUGUGUUUCAAUGAGUUCUUGAAGUCUUUCCACAAAGGUGGUAGUUUCUCUAUUAUUGCUUCUACUUGAAUUGCCUCAUUCACGAAGUGAAUAUUAAGACUGUUUUUAAAUGGUUCAACAGAGGUAUUUGUCAAAAUUAUACCUUCCGUAAGGAGAUCAUGGAUGAUCACUUGCAGUUCCUGCACUUGGGAAACAACAGACUUGUUGUCUACUAUUUUAUACUCCAGGAAUCUUGAAACAAAGAACUUUUUAGGUCCUGCAUCCUCCAUCUUGUACUUUCAUUCUAGCUCUCCCCAUAAUUCUUAUGAUGUCUUUGUUUUACUAUACAUAUUAUAAAGGUUAUCUUGGAGACAACUCAAGAUGUAAUUCCUGCAAAGGAAAUCUUAGUGUUUCCAAGCCUCCACAAUCACGAAGUGAUCUUUUUUAGAGGUUCCCUUGGGAGCCUCUAGAGCUUUCUAAACUGUGAACCUUUGAAAACAGAGAGUGAUGAGGUAGAAGAACAUUUUCUACUGCCAUCUCUUAAAGUCAAUACUCGCGAACUUUUCAAGUUUCUCCACUGGUGUAAUUGCCGGCGGAGCAUUCGUGUGACUUAUUGUGGCAGUACUAGUUGCCCCCACAGUCAUUGCAGUGUCUUGCAUUUGACUAUCAUUAGUCAUUUUCCUGUCACAACAAGACAGUACCUUUAGUAUAUCAAAAUACUUAUUACAAAGUUGUAGAAACUUUAAACACUUCUUGUUUCUAGUUUAACGAUGAAGUUUUUAUGACUUCCAAUCGUCAACCGCAUGAUCUUUAACUUGUGAUUAACAUUUUAUGUCUUCAAAUCACUAGUUAAGUUCAAACGGAGUAGAAAGCUUAAGCUUUAAUCUCCAAAAACAAGCUAUACAGAUUCUGAAAUAAUUAUUCCUUAAGAUUGUUAUUUAUAAUGUUUUUGGGUACAAGAAUCUAUAUAUACAUGCAACAAUAACUUCAACACAAGUUUAAGCCUAAGACUAGAACACUUAUGAAGUUCCUUAAUACCUUCAACACAAGAUUAUAAACAAUUUAUCCAAGAAGUAUGUUAACUUUCAGAAAUGAGAUGAAACAGAUUUUUAAGGCCAAGCCCCCAACUCCACGGUGUGUCCUUAAGGAAUAAUUCCCCUCACUAUACUCUAGGUUAUGGAAUCAUUCUCCCAGGAUAAAAUGGACUUCAAUCCGAACAAUAGCAGUACCUCAAAUUUUUGGAUUCUUCGAACUCACUCAACAACUUAAUGAUCAUACAAAAUUUUUUUAUAGAAGAAGAGUGUUUUUGCUGUCAAAAAUUAUUCUAAUAGGCCUUAACUUAAUAUUCUCUUUGAAGCAGCUUGUACUUUACCCCCACAUAGGUGAUUUCUAAAUGUUUAAUCCUAUAGAUUAAAAUAUUUGGUCAAAUCUGCCAAAUUUAGAUAAUCAUUAAAAGACUUUUCACCUUAAGUCUUAUCCUUGUUUACUAAAAUUGUCUACAUAAUAAGAAUGGGUUCGGUAUUAACAAUUUUGAACCUGUCAGACAGAACUCUGUUUGAUCUCUUUGAACCUAGAUCUUAGGGUAUCAAGUCUUCUAGGUAGAGUUACCACUAUGCUGACUUGUCCUAGGCCUUAAACCCAAUCCCUUUGAUAUUCUCUCAACUCCUUCUCUAGAUAGGCCUUCUAUAAGUAGAUCUGACAUAUUAUCCUUUGACUUUACAUAGUCAACAAUGAUAUUUCCACUAGACAGAAGUUCUCUAACGAUAUUAUGUCUCCAUCUUAUGUGAUAAGAUUUGCCAUUGUACAUCAUGCUCCCUUUCCUAUCUAUUGUCGCUUGGAUAUCACAGUGUAUACAUACUUGUGCCACUGGUUUGGGCCAAUAAGGAACAUCUUCCAAGAAAUUCUGGAGCCAUUUUGCUUUUUCACCGGCUUUAUCUAAUGUGAUAAGUUUAGAUUCCAUUAUAGAGCGAGCAAUACAAGUCUGUUUGGAUGAUUUCAAAGAGACUGCUCCUCCAUCGAUAGUAAAUGCAUAUCCACUCAUCGAUUUUACUUCGUUCGAUCUGGUGAUCCAAUUUGCAUCACUAUAUCCUUCAAGUAUCGUGGGAUAUUUAUUAUAAUGCAAAGCAUAUUCUUGAGUAAAUUUAAGAUACCCCAAAACUCUUUUUAUUGCCAUCAAAUGAGUUUUAUUUGGAUUACUCGUGCACUUAUAGUGUAUGCUAUGUCAAGUUGUCUACUGUUUAUUAUAUUUAUUAAACAUCCCAAUACUCUUGCGUACUUCAAUUAUGAGUCACUUUCACCUUCAUUCUUUUGAAGUGCAAAGCUCACAUUCAAUGGAGUUUUGGUAAUUUUCAAGUAGCUUUUUGAUGUAAUGAGACUGUGACAAUGCCAAACCUUGUGGAUUUCUAUGGAUUCUUAUUCCUAAGAUCACAUCCACAACUCCAAGGUCUUUCAUAUCAAACAUGCUCUCGAGCAUUUAUUUCAUUGCAUUUAUGUCAGAAAUUUAUCUACUGAUGAUCAACAUAUCAUCCACAUACAAAUACACAAUGACUUGGUAAUUUAGAGUGUCUUUAAUGUAAACACAUUUAUCACAUUCAUUUAUCUUGAACUCGUUUGCCAAUAUGGUUUGGUCAAACUUUUCAUGCCAUUGUUUAGGUGCUUGUUUUAGUCCAUAAAGUGACUUAACAAGUUUACACGCCUUAUUUUUCUUUCUUGGACCGAAGAACCCUUAGGCCGUUCCAUGCAAAUUUCUUCCUCCAAUUCUACGUUUAGGAAUGCUAUUUUCACAUCCACUUGAUAGAUUUCAAGACCAUAUACUGCCGCUAAGGAAAUUAUCUUCUGAAUUAACGUUAUCCUCAUUACUGGUAAGUAUGUAUCAAAGUAAUCAAGGCCUUCCUUUUGUUUGAAUACUUUUACUACAAGUAUUGCCUUGUGCUUAUUAAUAGUACCAUCAACUUUCAUUUUCCUUUUGAAGAUUCAUUUAGAACCUAAAGGUUUAUUUCCUGGUGGAAGUUUAACCAAUUCCCACAUAUGGUUGCUUAAUAUUGAAUCAAUCUCACUACGACUACCUCUUCCCAAAAUGAUGAGCUCGAAGACGCUAUCGCUUUCUUAAAUGUUUGAGGCUCAUUUUCUAAGAGAAACGUUACAAAAUCCGAUCCAAAUAAAGUUGAUGUUCUUUGUAUGUACUGCAUUUUGGAUUAUCAUCAUUAUGUGCAUUCUCACUUAUUUCAUCUAGGUCGUUUAGACCCUUCACUAGACUGUUCAUGUCUAGUUUUAUAUGGAUAAAUGUUUUCAAAGAAUUCAAGAUUAUCUGAUUUAAUUACCAUAUUUUCAUUAAUAUCCAUAUGUUCAGAUUUAUGAACCCAAAACCGAUAUGCUUUACUACUUGUAGCAUAUCCUAUGAACAUGUAGUCUAUCGUCUUAGGUCCUAUCUUAACCCUUUUAGGUAUAGGAACUUGGACCUUUGCUAGACACCCCUACACUUUGAAAUAUUUCAAGUUGGGUUUCCUUCCUUUCUAUUUUUCAUAAGGAAUUGAUUGUGUUUUAAUAUAGGAAAAUCUAUUGAGUAUUCGGUUGGCUGUAAGAUAGUAUCCCCUACAAGCUUUGCUGUAAACCUGAACUUAUAAGUAAGACAUUCAUCAUUUCCUUCAAAGUUUAUUUUUUUCCUUUCCACAAUUCCAUUAGAUUGAGGUGAAUAUGAGGCCGUAGUUUGAUGGACAAUUCUAUUAUCUAGACAUAUUCCAUCGAAGUGAGAUUCAUUUUCGCCGACCCUAUCACUUCUUAUCAUUUUUAUCUUUUUCUCUAACUAAUUUUCAACUUCAGUUUUGUAUUUCCUAAAUACAUCUAUUGCUUCAUCCUUACUAUUUAACAAAUAGACAAAACAAUAUCUCAUGCAAUCAUCGAUAAAAGUUAUGAAAUACUUUUUCCCACCACGUGAUGGUGUUGACUUCAUAUAAUGUCCUGUGUAUUAUGUCUAAGGGAUUGGAAUUCCUUUCAACGGACUUAUAAGGAUGCUUUUCGUACUUUGAUUCCACAUACGUUUUACACUUUGAUUUAUUGCACUCAAAGUUUGGAAAAAGUUCUAAGUUAAUCAAUUUUUGUAAUGUUUUGUAAUUAACAUGGCCUAAACGUUCAUGCCACAAAUUGUAACACUCAAGCAAGUAAGAAGAAAUUGAAAUUUUAUUGAUUUCAACAUUCAUUACAUUCAUUUUGAAUAGGUCCUCAUUGAGGUAGCCUUUUCCUACAUACACUUCUCCUUUACUAAGUACAAUCUUUUUUGAAAAAAAUACACAUUUGAAUCCGUUCUAGUCUAAAAGUGAAACUGAAAUCAAGUUCUUCCGUAACUCCAGAACAUACAAGACAUUAUUAAUUUUCAACACUUUGUUGGAAGUCAUCUUCAAGCACACUUUUCUGUUCUUUCUACUUUUGCAAUAGUGAAGUUUGCCAUGUAGAUCUUUUCUUUUACUUGAGUCGGAGGAAACAUUGAAAACAACUCCUUUUUAGCACAAACUUCGCGGGUGGCACUAGAAUCCAUUCACCAUUCACGAGGAUUUCCCACCAUGUUUCAUUUGGAAAGCAUAACAGACAAAUCAUACAUUUCUUUCAUAGACUUAGCCAAAUUUGCUUAGUCCUUCUCCUUCCCUUUCUUCGGAGCACGACAAUCCAUAGACUUAUGGGCAAUCUUGCCAUAGUUGAAGUACUUUCCCUUGAAUUUCUUCUUGGGUUGAUUGCUUUUAUUUCCAACAUUCUUUCAAUUUUUAGAGUUGCUUUGGUCAUCUUCUACAAUAUUUGCUCCAUUCAUUACAGAAUUACCUCUUGACCUUCUUUUCCCAAACUUAUUAUCUUCUUAAAUGUGUAGUUAUACAAUCAGAUCUUUGACUGGCAUCUCCGUACGUUUGUGUUUCAAAUAGUUCUUGAAGUCUUUCGACAAAGGUGGUAGCUUCUCUAUUAUUGCUGCUACUUGAAAUUCCUCAUUCACGAUCAGACCUUUAAGAAAGGUUAAGUUAAUAUUAAUACCAUUUUUAAAUGGUUCAACAAAGGUAUUUGUUAAAAUUAUACCUUCCGUAAGGAGAUCACGGAUGAUCACUUGCAGUUCUUGCACUUGGGAAACAACAGACUUGUUGUCUACCAUUUUAUUCUCCAGAAAUCUUGCAACAAAGAACUUUUUAGUUCCUGCAUCCUCCGUCUUGUACUUUCGUUCUAGCACUCCGCAUAACUCUUUCGAUCUCUUUGUUCCACUGUACAUAUUAUAAAGGUCAUCUUGGAGACCACUCAAGAUGUAAUUCCUGCAAAGGAAAUCUGAGUGUUUCCAAGCCUCCACAGUCAUGAAGCAAUAUUUUUUAGAGGUUCUAUCAGGCACCUCCGAAGUUUUCUCAACUGUGAACCUUUAAAGACAGAGAUUGAUGAGGUAGAAGAACAUUUUCUACUGCCAUCUCUUAAAGUCAAUACCCACAAAAUUUUUAGGUUUUUCUGCUGGUUCCAUCGCUAGUAGAGCAUUCGUGCAACUUAUUAUGGCAAUACUAGUUGCCCCCACAGUCAUUGCAGUGUCUUGCAUCUGACUGUCAUUAGUCAUUUUCCUGUCACAACAUGACAGUACCUUUAGUAUAUCGAAAUACUUAUUACAAAGUUGUAGCAACUUUAAACACUUCUUGUUUCUAGUUUAACGAUAAAGUUUUUAUGACUUCCAAUCAUCAACCGAGUAAUCUUUAACUUGUGAUGAAGAUUUUAUGUCUUCAAAUCACUAGUUAAGUUCAAAUGGAGUAGAAAGCUUAUGGCUUUAAUCUCCAAAAACAAGCUAUAGAGAUUCCAAAAUAAUUAUUCCUUAAGAUUGUUAUUUACAAUGUUUUCGGGUACAAGAAUCUGUAUAUACAUGAAACAAUAACUUCAACACAAGUUCAAGCCUAAGACUAGAAUACUUAUGAAGUUCCUUAACACCUUCAACACAAGAUUAUAAACAAUCUAUCAAAGAAGUAUGUUAACUUUCAGAAAUGAGAUGAAACAGAAUUUUAAGGCCAAGUCUCCCGACUCCAUGUAGUGUCCUUAAGGAAUAAUUCCCCUCACUGUACCCGAGGUUAUGGAAUCUUUCUCCCAGGAUAAAAUGACCUUCAAUCCGAACAAUAGUGGUACCUCAUAUUGUUGGAUUCUUCGAACUCACUCAACAACUUAAUGAACACACAAUUUUUUUGUAUAGAAGAAAAAUGUUUUUGCCAUAAAAAUUAUUCUAAUACCUGAGGAUUAUAUCAGGCAUUUAUAUCCUUUAUUGUAUCCUUUUAGUAAUGAUGUAUUGGUUUAGCAGAAAGGCACCUUUUCAGUAGCAGUCACGUCCUUGUGCCCAGUCUGUGCUAGACAUAAGCCUGUUUUGUGACUGCAGGUGACAUUUGGCAUAUUCCAGUUGCUUCUGUGCUACAGCUGAGACCACAGGUCGUAUACCUACACUCUGCGCUUGUAGGUCACCCUACAACAUAAAAUAAUAUGCCUUUUCCUUUGAAUGGUCACAUCCCUUCAUGAUGAAUUGUGUAUGUGUCUGCAUGGCGUUUAAAAUACGCCCAUACUUGGAGAAAAAUAAUACCUUCAGAUUUUGGAUUAAAAAUUUCACUUGUAAAUAAUUUUCAAAUAAAUUUUAUCUAAAAACAUAGAUCUCAUCGAUCGAUCAUUUGAUAAAUCCAAAUCCAAAGCUGAAGUCGAAGUCGAGCCGAGUGACUGACGAUGAUGAUGGUGCGAGAAACCACCUUGAUAUUGCCUCACUAUCCAUGUGGAGUUAGUGUUUCUCAUUAUAAACACUUAUAAGUUCUCUUCUACCGCCAAUGUGAGAGAAUUAGUGAACUUCCCUUUUAAAAGAGUAGACUUUCCAAUUUGAGAGUACACUUUCUAAAUUGGUAUCUCUUUUCUCUCCACUAUUUUUCCUCCAUUUUCCAUUUAGAUAUACACCUUGAACCCACUAACUAAUGUCAUAUUUAAUAAUGGUCCAUGCCUUCUUGAAAAACCAAGUUGUAAAACGUUCAAUACUUGGUGUUUUAUCACCAUCAAUACUAAAGACAACAUCAUGAACUUCCUUUUCUGUAAUUGGUCUGCACAUAUGUAACACCUUAGAAAUUCAAGCUAAGAUUAGAACAUGUAUGAUCCAACAUCAUGUUUUAAUGGAAUGGUAAGUGAUUUAGAAAUGCAUUCACGCCACAAGUAACUCCUAGCUCUUGGCCAAGUUAAAACCUGCCUUACUAAUUAAUUGCUUGAGAAGUAUCUUUUGAUAGUUAGCUUCAAAUAAGAAUAACUUAUAGAUUGUAAAUUUUAUUUAAGCUCAAAACCCACCAAAUGAUAUAUAUUUUAAUUAUCUUUUCAAAGAAUCCAAUUUUGACUUAAUACGAUAUAGGAGUAAAAUGUUAUAGCUAUUUUAGUGAAACACUAUCCUAAAGUGAGAAGCUAUGACCAUAGGUAAGAUCUUAGUGAGAUUGUACAACCGUACAAUGCUCUCAUCUGAUCCAAAAAGCCCCAAAAAUCUGAAAGUUAACGAGUAUACUUUCUUAACCAUGAGAACCACCUACGGUAGUAGGUGGGUCCACGAUGGUGGAAAUGUCUAGUACGUGCCUUCGAACAACUUUCUAAUUAUGAAUUUAAAAGGGCACAUCAUUUUUUUGCACUCUUUUAACAUCAAAACUAUGUUGUUUAAGUUAUUCUAGGGCUGAUUAUUAAGGUUAAUAUUAACUUAAUCCCUCAUUACUCAAAAAAACAUCCAACACUUAGUUUUAACAUAGAGAAAAGAGGUGAUUUCUUUCCCCAAGAUAGGGUUAUGGUUCAUCUUAUUUAGGCUUCCAAUUUCAAUGAUUUCUUUAGGGUUUUAAUCUCUAGGUAUGUGGGAUUUUAUAAAUGGAUUUUCUUUCACCCAUUGAGUCCCAAAGUUAACUAAAUUCCUCAGUUUAGUUCCUCUUCAAAGCUUAGGGUUCAUAAAUGUAGUGAAUUUCUUGAUAUCUCAGUCCCUUGAUAUUAUUGAGUUGUAAUCCAUGUUUUACAAUGAAUUUUAGUACCAUUACAUGUUCAUGAUCAUAAAUCCUAAUUAUAUUAUGAAAUAUAUGAUUUUGGUCUUGAGUUAUUAAAUUUUUUAAAUUCACCCAGUUUAUGAAAUUAUGAUAAUAGUUGCAUUCUUCUUAGAUGGUGGGUUGCGAACACCUGAUGACCUAGGGUAUCAUACAUUAUCAGUUGAACAUUUAUUCUUUCAGUCUUUAUGAUUUAGAAUACUUCCAGGUAAAUCAUCUGCCUUUCAAUUUCAAAAUAUCAAUAUUAUUGAGGAUUUCAGUAUAUCAGUUUACUUUCAGUUAGGAGUAGUACUUAGCAUAAAGAGGACACGAAUUCUUAUUACCCAAGUCCUAAAACUGCAGUGCCACUGCAGGUUGAAAUUAUUGUCCUUUGGAUAUUAUAUUAGUGGAUCCAUAUCAACCCGUGUUCAUACACUUGGCAUGGUACUAAACACCCAUCCACCUGGGGUUACUAGUCGGGCCCUAUUGAGCUCAGAAGGGGUUUGCCGGUUAAUAGUAGCUCCCACAGUUCAGUGUUAGUCCUCACAUGACCAUAUAUUUAGUUAUUUUUGUAAAUUAUAUUGUUUUUCAUAAUAAUUAUCGGGUUAUUGCAUCAGCCUACAAAUUUUAGUUCAUGUUCAGCUUCUCACGUUAUUUUCAGCAUUCUUAGUUAACAUAGUGUGGUGUAUAUCUCACAUGUUCAGUACAUUCAAAGUUCUGAUUGCAUACUUCUCUUUGUGAUUUAUUAUCUUAUAAUACAGGUUUAGAUGUUCAACAACCAUACCAAGCAUGGAAUGACCCCCACCAUAUCAACAGUUAUACAUCGGUGAGUACUCAUCAUUCGAGUACUAGUAUCAGUAUUUUAUUUAUUUUUAAUUAUUAUUUUAGUUUCAUAAAGUUAGAGUUAGCUUGGGGAUUGUCCUUGCAACUUAUUUUAUUUAAAGGCUUUCGUACAGUUAAAUUGUAACACCCUAAACUUUUAUAGCUUGAAUUCAUGCCAAAAAUAUCAAGGAUUAGCUUCUAAAGUGAAUGAUAAUAAUUUCGUGUGAAAUUUUCCUGAUUUAGAUCUCUCAUUGUGUGGUAAAUUUAAUAAGUUUUCCAACGAUAUAAGAUUCGCUCAAAUCCAAUAACUGGGUAAGAAAUUAUAACUAUUUUAAAUUUCAGUCAUGAAACACCGUCAUUUCGGUCACUAGCGCGUCGUGUAGAGGGUUUAAAUGAUGAUUGUCAAUUUUCAGUGGCCCUCCGUGAUAUUGGCACAUCGCGGAGAGGGCCAAUUUACCUUUUGUCAAUUUCCAGAGGUCCAACGUGAUAAUGGCGCGUUGCGCUAUGUGCCAAAAUGACAUUCCAAAUGGACACUAUGAUGGCUCCAUGCCACGAAGUCUUCCCAUUUUUCAUUUGUUAAUUUCUAGUGAGCCACCGUGAUAGUGGCGCAUCGCAGUGGCCACUCAGUUGAAAAAAUAUGCGUUAAUCAGUCUGUUUAAUAUUUAAAAAGGGGUACUUUGCUCAUUCUCCCAACCCCUAAUCCAUCUUAAACAGUGAAUUAAACCCCUUCAAAGCACUUUACAUUCACUUUUCGUCAAAUUUCUCUCAAGAAAAACCCUAGUUCAUCAAACUUUAUCCCCAAUAAAUCCAAAUUCAUCCAUUUAUUUCUCCAAAGAAAUUCAAGAUUGAGGAUUCCCAACACAAGAUCUCUAAGAAUUUAUCAUCAAAUCAUCAAUAGGAAUUCAAGAUUCAAGUUUUUCAUCAAAGAUCACCAAUUAAAGUAUAUGGGGUUAUGAACAAGUAUACUCCUUUCAUCCUUGUGCCCUAAACUUAUUUUAAUUACAAAUUUACUGAAACUUAUUUUAAUUACAAAUUUACUGAAUUUUAUAUGAGUUUUCAUGAAAUUGAAGUUAGGGUUUAUACCCAUUAAUGUUGUUUACAAGCUUAUGAGAUUUCCAAUGAUUUAGAAGUUGAAUUACAUGAUUAUAUUCAUAUUUUCAUGCAUAUUGCUGAAAUUUCCAGAUUUUAAGUUGAGUUAUGAAUGUUUACAUUACCAAGCAUGAAUAUUAUGAUAUUUUAACAUGAGAUUGAAGCAUAGAUUAUUUUCCUAAGAUUGAUUUUAUGUAUUUAAGAAAGAUGAUGCUUUAAGCAUCUUAUGAGCAGAUUAUUUAUAGUUUUCCAGUAAAGCUAUUCUAUUCAUGAUGUAUCAUCUUCAGAUUAAAGUAUUGUGACUCACAAGCAUUGUAUUGCAUGUUUUACUAUUCAUGAUGUAUCAUUUUCAUGUUUCAGAUUUACUCAAUCCUAUGUGAGUCAUUUACAUUUAGCAUGAAUAAUUUUAUAAAUUGUGAUGACAUUGUUUACUUAUUGUAUUCACCCCCAUAUACUCAGUACAUCCUCAAAGUACUAAUCCAUAUAUACUUCUAUGUGCUACAUUUUCUAAUAAUGUAGGUUCAGGUGCUCAGCCAUAGCAGUGAGACUAAUUUUUGAGCAUCUAAUCUACAUCUCUGCAGUUGGUGAGUCCUCAUAGUUUAGGGACUUAGCUAUUCAUGUUUUUAGUUUAUUAAUACAUAUUUCUGUAUUUAUUUCAGAUAGUUUGAGUUAGCUGGGGCUUGUCCCAGUGACUCUCUGGAUUUAGUCAGUAGAGGCUUGUCAGACUACUAGAUUCAGUUUUAGAUCUUAGUUACAGUAUUCUGAUUUUCAGUAAUUGCUUUAUUAGACUUUUGAGAUUAGUAUGAUUCAAAUAUACCCAGAUAAUUCAGAUAAUUUCUACAUUAAUUAUGAUUUUUCAUUCAUACCUUCCCGAAUUCGAGAUUGAGAUUUAGAAAAGGCAACCAGGGUUAGCUCAGAACUACUUGUAGUUCGGAGCACCGUGUGGCAUUCUAUGGUAUUACCUAGAGUCUUGAUCAUCGGUGUGAAGUGCAUCAUAUCUAUAAGCAAGAGGCUAUGGAGCAUUUUAGGAAAUCAUCUCUUCUUUCAUGAUCUAUCAUGUAUUCAGUAUCUCUAUUUGCUGCUAACUUGUGCUUUCACAUGAUAGAAAAUGCCUCCUCAUUGAGCUAAUUCACAUGAAAUGAUAACCAGUCACCUCAUCCCACAGAUCCUUUGAAUGAGAAUAUGUCACAUGUAGAGUUUCGGGUUGCCUUUCAGGUGCUAGCCUAUGCUGUGACAACUAACAUAUAGGGUAAUCGGUAGGCUGCAGUCCUACCUCAACAAGAUGGGGACUUACCCAUAUCCAAAAUUUAAUAUUUUAUGAAGAUGAAUUCGCCAGAGUUCUUUGGGUCGAAGGUAGGUAAGGACCCAUAACUUUAUCUAGAUGAGGUAAAUAAGAUCGACCAAAUUAUGCAUGUUUUUUAUGAAGAGAGUGUAGAAUUAGAAUCCUAUAGGCCGAAAGAUAUUACUUAUGAUUGGGUAGUGAUGUGGAAGAAGAGUAGAGGGAAGAAUGUAGCUCUCAUGACUUGGCAGAUUUUUUAGGAUUCAUUUCUAGAUAAGUUCUUCCCACGUUAGAUUAGAAAAGCUAAGAUAGAAGAGUUCAUAAACCUGAGGAAAGGCUCAAUGACAGUGAAACAGUAUUGCCUCAGGUUCAAUCAGUUGUCUAAGUAUGCCCUUGAUUAGAUGGCUGACCCUAGGUCAAGUAUGGGUAAGUUUGUGACCGGUGUUUUUGGGUUGGUAGUUAAGGAGUGUAGGACUACUAUUCUCAUUGGAGACAUGGAUCUCCCUAUAUUGAUGAUGCAUGCCCAGCAGAUUGAGACAAAAAAAUAAAGGAAAGAGAGAGUAAAUAAGAAGGAUAGAAUAGGAAAGCUUGAUUAUGGUCAGAAUAGGUCUGGAGGAGGAAAUCAUUCGCAGUUUUAAAACCGUUCAUCUAUGCAUGCACCUUCUUCAACCAGUACUCUGCCACCCAGAAAUAGACAAGAACAGUUGGGUAAGUCCUCUCUGUCCAGAUCUCAAAAUAGUAUGAGUGGCCGGCCCAGCUAUCCUUGGUGUGCUAGGUAUGGUAAAAAUUAUCCUGGUGAGUGUUUAGCUGGAUGGAGGGGUUGCUAUAGUUGUAGCUAGCCGGGUUAUGGAAUCAAAGAGUGCCCGCUUUCUAAACAGAAAAACAAGGAUGCUUGUCCUCACACUCAGGCUACUACUGCACCAGCUCCUUUAGGUCGCCUAGCUCCUCCUCAGGCCGCAUCAUCCAGUACUGGUGGUGGUCAGUACCAAAAUCAGUUUUAUGACUUACCAUCCCUCUAGGAGUUCACUGUACAUUGUUACUAGUAUGCAUUGUGUCUUCUAUUUUGAUGUUUAUGUGUUGUUAGACCCUGGGUUGAGUUUCUCUUAUGUGACCCCACUAGUUGCUGUGAAUUUUGAGAUAAAUCUUAAAAAGAUCCCUAAGCCCUUCUUGGUUUCUACUCCAGUAGGUGAGUCAGUUGUUGCUAAACAAAUCUAUAAGACGUGUCCUAUCACUGUCCUUCAUAAAGUCAUGUUAGCAGACUUAAUAGAGUUAGAUAUGGUUGAUUUUGAUCUUAUCCUUGGUAUGGAUUGGCUCUAUUGCUAUUAUGCCUCUAUAAAUUAUUGCACCCGUGUGGUGAAGUUUCAGUUCCUAGAUGAGCUAGUCUUCGAGUGGUGAGGUAAUUCAGUGUCUCCCAAGAGUCAUUUAAUAUCUUAUCUUAAGCCAGAAAGUUGAUAUCCGAAGGUUGCAUUUACCAACUAGUUCGAGUCAAAGACACUAUGUCUGAGACUCCAACACUUUAGUCUGUUCGAGUGGUCAGUGAAUUUCCUAAAGUUUUUCCAGAAGAUCUUCCAAGGGUACCUCUCAAUAGGGAAAUAAAAUUUGGUAUUGUCCUUCUCCUAGAUACUCAGCCUAUUUUUAUCCCUCUAUAUCAUAUGGCUCCAAUAGAUCUUAAGGAGUUGAAAGAGCAACUUAAAGAUCUUUUAGAUAAAGGUUUCAUAAGGCCUAGUGUUUCUCUAUGGACCCCUCUUAUCCUAUUUGUGCAAAAGAAAGAUAGUUCUUUGCGAAUGUGCAUUGACUAUCAUCAGCUAAAUAAGGUCACAAUCAAGAACAAAUCCCUAUUCCUAGAAUUGAUGACUUGUUUGACCAACUCCAAGGUGCAAUUUAUUUCUCAAAGAUAGACCUUAGAUCCUGCUAUCAUCAGCUUAAAGUAAGGGAGUGUGACAUUCCAAAGACAGCCUUUAGAACCCGUUCUGGUUGUUUUGAGUUUCUAGUCAUGUCCUUCGGUCUAACAAAUGCUCUAACAGUUUUUAUGGACCUCAUAAACCGAGUGUUCAAAUAGUAUCUAGACAUGUUUGUCAUAGUAUUCAUAGAUGAUAUCCUUGUAUACUCCCGUAGUGAGGAUGACAAUGUAGAUCAUCUUAGAAUUGUCUUAUAAAGUCUUAGAGAUCAUUAAUUGUUCGCUAAAUUCAGCAAGUGUGAAUUCUGGCUAAGAUUAGUAGCCUUUCUAGGUCAUAUUAUUUCCACCGAUGGUAUUAGAGUUGAUCCCCAAAAGACAUAAGCCGUAAGAAAUUAGCCUAGACCUAUCUCUUUGUCAGACAUUAGAAGUUUCUUGGGUCUAGCUGGUUAUUAAAGAUAUUUUGUUGAGGGUUCUUGUCUAUUGUAUCCCCUAUGUCUAGAUUGACCCAAAAGAAAGUUAAGUUACAGUGGUCAGAUUCCUUUGAGAAGAGUUUUCAGGAGUUGAAGAUUCGACUCACUACAACCCCAAUCUUAGCAUUACCUGAUAGUACAGAUGGUUUUGUGGUGUAUUGUGAUGGCUCUAGAGUUGGUUUGGGUUAUGUACUGAUACAGAGAGGUAAGGUCAUAGCCUAUGCCUCUAGACAACUUAAGCCUCAUGAAAAGAAUUACCUAACCCAUGAUGUUGAAUUAGCUAUUAUGGAAUUUGCAUUGAAAAUCUGGAGACACUAUCUAAAUGGUGUAUAUAUUGAUGUGUUCACGGACCACAAGAGUUUGCAGUAUGUGUUUACCCAGAGAGAGUUGAAUCUUUGUCAGAGGAGAUGGUUCUAAUUGUUGAAGGAUUAUGUCAUGAGCAUGUUAUAUCAUCCUGGAAAGGCUAAUGUAGUGGAUAGUCUAUGGGUACCCAUGUGGAUAAUAAUAAGAAAACCUAGCGCGAGAAGUUCAUCGUUUGGAUAGAUUGGGUGUUAGGUUAGUUGAUUCAGCUGAAGGGAAUGCUUGGGUUCAGAGUAGUUCCAAAUCUUUCCUAGUUUCGGAUGUUAAGGGGAAGAAAAAUAUGGAUUCUAGUUUGGUAAAACUAAAAGAGUCAGUGAGAGACCAAAGGAUAGAGGUUUUCUCCUAAGGGGGAGAUGUCGUGUUGAGAUACCAGAGUAGAUUGUGUGUGCUAUGUUUGAUGAGUUGAGACAGUGGAUUAUGGUUGAAGCUCAUCGUACACAUUAUUCUAUUCAUCCAGGUGCUACCAAGAUGUACCACGACUUGCGGGAAAUCUAUUGGUGGAAUGGUGUGAAGAGAGAUAUUACAGAGUUCAUAGCUAAAUAUGCAACUUGUCAACAGGUUAAGGUAGAACACCAAAGACCUGGUGGUACAUUGUAAGAGUUUGGUAUCCCUACUUGGAAGUGGGAAGAAGUGAAUAUGGAUUUUGUGUCUAGUUUACCCCAUUCAUGUCGUCAGCAUGAUUCGAUUUGGUUUAUUAUAGACAGGCUGACUAAAUCAACCCAUUUUUUACCAGUUCACAUAUCCUAUACAACGGAAGAUUAUGCUAAGUUGUACGUCAGAGAGUUGGUCAGAUUGCAUGGAGUUCCCUUGGCUAUCAUCUCAGACAGGGGUACUCAAUUUACUUCAUAAUUUUGGAGAGCCUUUCAGAAGGGUCUUGGUACCCAAGUCCAUCUUAGUUUAGCUUUUCACUCUCAAAUAGAUGGUCAAGCAGAGAGGACCAUCCAAACUCUAGGAGACAUGUUGAGGGCAGGUGCUCUUGAUUUCAAAUGUAGUUGGGAUGAGCAGUUGUCGUUGAUUGAGUUCGCUUAUAAUAACAGUUACUAUUCUAGCAUUCAGAUGGCCCUGUUUAAGGCUAUUUACGGGAGGAGAUAUAGAUCAUCCACAAGUUGGUUUGAAGUAGGUGAGGUCGCUUUGCUUGGACCUGAUGCAGUAUUUGAAGUUGUGGAGAAAAUUAAGUUGAUUAGAGAAAGAUUAAAAAUAGCCCAGAGUCAUCAGAAAUCAUAUGAAGAUGUGAGAAAAAGGGACCUCGAGUUUGAUUUUGGUGAUUUAGUGUAUCUGAAGAUUUCACCCAUGAAAGGGGUGGAGAGAUUUGGCGAGAAGGGGAAGCUUAGUCCCCGGUAUGUUGGCCCUUAUAGAAUUCUAAGUCGUGUUGGGAAAGUGGCUUAUGAGUUUGAUUUGCCCGCAAACUUGUACGCCAUUCAUCUUUUAUUUCACGUCUCUAUGCUUAAGAAGUGCAUCGGUGAAUUCACCAUUGUAGUUUCUUUAGAAAGCUCAGAUAUCCAUAACAUCCUCUCAUACGAAGAGACUCCGGUUGAGAUUUUAGAUCAUCAGAUCCGUAGACUAAGGAACAAAGAAGUUUCUUUGGUCAAAGGUCUUUGGCAGAAUCAGUCAGUUGAGGGCGCUACUCGGGAAACAGAAGUAGAUAUGUGAGCCAAGUAUCCUCACCUCUUCUCCGCAAACUCAAAUUUAGACGAAGGUAAUAAUCUUCCUUAAUUCAGUUAUUUUCUAAUCUCAUAUUCAGCUAUAUAGCUAUUUUUGUGUGAACUCAUGCACUUAUAGAUCAGUUUAGUAAGCUCAUUAUGUUGAGAAUCAGUCAUUUAGUUAAUUCAGUUGUGCAUGAUAACUUAUAGCCCCAGAUUUCCCCAAUAUUCUCAACUUAACCAGCCACAUCCGAGGACGAAUAUUCCCAAGGGGGAGAUAUUAUAAUACCCUAAACAUUUCUAGAUUAAAUUCGUCCCAAUAAUGUCAAGGAUUAGACCUCCCAUUGUGUAAAAAAUUUAAUAAGCUUUCCAAAGAUAUAAGAUUCGCUCAAAUCCCAUAAUCGGGUAAGAAGUUAUGGCUAUUUUAAGUUCCAAUUGCAAAACACCAUCAUUUCGGUCACUAGCGCGUCGCAUAGAGGGUUUAAAUGACGAUUGUCAAUUUCCAGUGGCCCUCGGUGACAUUGGCGCAUCACGGAGAGGGUCAAUUUCCCAUUCGUCAAUUUGUAGAGGUCCAGCGCGAUAAUGACGCGUUGCGCCAUUUGCCAAAAUGGCAUUCCAAAGGGACACCGUAAUGGCUCCGCGCUGCGGAGUCUGCCCAGUUUUUAUUUGUUAAUAUCCAGUGAGCCACGACGAUAGUGGCGCAUCGCGGUGGCCACCCAGUUUGAAAAAAUAUGCGUUAUUCAGUCCUUUUAAUAAUUAAAUAGGGGUACUUUGGUUAUUCUCCCAGCCCCCAAUCCGUCUUAAACAGUGAAUUAAACCCCUUUGAAGCACUUUACAUCCACUUUUCGUCAAAUCUCUCUCAAUAAAAACUCUAGUUCAUCAAACUUUCUCCCUAGGGAAUUCAAAUUCCUCCAUUUAUUUCUCCAAAGAAAUUCAAGAUUGAGGAUUCCUAACACAAGGGCUCUAAGAAUUUAUCAUCAAAGCAUUAAUAGGAAUCCAAGAUUCAAGUUUUUCAUAAAAGAUCACCAAUUAAGGUAUGUGGGGUUAUGAACAAGUAUACUCCUUUCAUCCUUUUGACCAAAACUUAUUUUAAUUAUGAAUUUACUGAAUUUUAUAUGAGUUUCCAUAAAAUUGAAGUUAGGGUUUAUACCCAUUAAUGUUGUUUACAAGCUUAUGAGAUUUCCAAUGAUUUAGAAGUUGAAUUACAUGAUUAUGUUCAUAUUUUCAUACAUAUUGCUGAAAUUUCCAGAUUUUAAGUUGAGUUAUGAAUGUUUUCAUUACCAAGCAUGAAUAUUAUGAUGUUUAACAUGAGAUUCAAGCAUGAAUUAUUUUCCCAAGAUUGAUUUUAUGUUUUUAAGAAAGAUGAUGCUUUAAGCAUCUUAUGAGUAGAUUAUUUAUAGUUUUUCAGUAAAGCUUUAAUCUUUCGAUCACUGGUUUAGCUUUGGAAUCUACUUUACAGAUUAUUAUAGUUUACAGAACUCAGAUUAGCUUUAUUUAUAGAUUUACUCAUAUAAAUGCAUAAUUUGAUUUUUCAUAUGAACCUUUAUGCUAGUUUUAAAAAAAAUGGAUUUCCAAUGUUUUGAGCAUGUAUAUUUUAAGAGGGAGUAGUAUUUAGCACCAAGCAGGAAGUGUGUGAUUAGCGUGUCCUAUCAUCCACAGAACUACGUAGCCAACGUAGGUAUAGAUUAUCAUAUUUUCCCAUUUUUAUAUGGAUGACAGAUUUAGCUUGUGAUCGAUCACCUGGAUUAGGUUAUACUGCUGGCAAAAGUAUGACACCUCUCCCCAACGUGAGGUUUCUUCCUUAGGUUCUCAAGACGUUGGACUCCAUGUAGCUCACAUGGUUUAUGUCGGUUCACUACAAAAAAAAACUGAAAAAUCGACCACACAUUGUGGUCGGAAAAAACCGACCACAAGUUGUCGGUUUUUUAAUUUUUUUCUUAAAAAAAGCGACCCCAUGUGGUCGCUUUUAUAUUUUAAAAAAUCAAAAUAAUUAUUUCAAUAAUUUUUAUAUUAAUACUUAUUUAUUUUAAAAAUAAAAAUUAAAAAAAAAAAACAAAAUCGACCACUAGUGGUAGUUUUUUUUAAAAAAUAUAAUUAAAAAAUAUUUUUAAAUUUAUUUUUAAAAAAACCGACCACUAGUGGUAGGUUUUAAUUUUUUUAAAAAAGAAAAUUGGUCGAUUUUUUAAUUAAAAUAAAAAAAUAAUUUAAAAAAACGGACCACUAGUGGUCGAUUUUUGAACUAAAAAAAAUUUAAAAGUAAAUAAUUUUUAGUAACCAAUAAUUAUAUAUAUGUAAUCAAAUAUAUAUAUUAUUUUCAUUAAAAAUAAUUAUAUAUNNNNNNNNNNNNNNNNNNNNNNNNNNNNNNNNNNNNNNNNNNNNNNNNNNNNNNNNNNNNNNNNNNNNNNNNNNNNNNNNNNNNNNNNNNNNNNNNNNNNNNNNNNNNNNNNNNNNNNNNNNNNNNNNNNNNNNNNNNNNNNNNNNNNNNNNNNNNNNNNNNNNNNNNNNNNNNNNNNNNNNNNNNNNNNNNNNNNNNNNNNNNNNNNNNNNNNNNNNNNNNNNNNNNNNNNNNNNNNNNNNNNNNNNNNNNNNNNNNNNNUACUAUUUUUGUCAUAAGAAUGUAAUAUAUAACCGAUAAUUCAUUAGAAUAUAAUGAACGUGUUCUAUUAUAAGGUAAUAUACUUGUGGAUGUGAUAUAUAUAUACGCAUUCAAGAGUUCGUAUAUAUACAACAACAACAACAACAAACCCAGUGUAUUCCCACAGUGUGUGGUCUGGGGAGGGUAAGAUGUACGCAGUCCAUACCGCUACCUCCGAAGAAGUAGAGAGAUUAUUUCUGAUAGACCUCUGGCUCAAGAUAAAGAAUAAUAAACAAGGGAAUGGAUGACAUAACCGAAAUAAAAAAAUAGGAAAUAAUAGAAUAAAAUCACAGAAAUAUGAAAUAUGGGAAAUAAGAGCAACACGAAAUAAGAAAAUAGGAACUAAGCAAUAGAAAAUAGGGCACCCACCUAGUAGUGACAUACACUCACAUACCAAAGACACCUAUGUACAUUGUCCGAUGAUUACUAAAUCCGGCUACACCAGAACUCUCCUGACUGCUAGCUAUAACCUACACACUAACACUAGCCUUCUACCUUAAUCCUAGACCUCCACACCUUUUUAUCUAUGGUCAUGUCCUCAGUAAGAUGAAGGUGAUCCAUGUCAUGUCUAAUCACCUCUCUCCAGUAUUUCUUCAGCCUUUCUCUUCUCCUCCUGAAUCUAUCCAACGCUAUUCUCUCACACCUCCGAAUCGAGGUAUCCGUGCCCCUCCUCAUCACAUGCCCAAACCAUCUCAGCCUUUCUUUCAUCAUCUUAUCCUCCACCUAAUCUACUCCCUCCUUAUCCUGGAUAAUCUCAUUCCUAACUCUGUCCCCUUUAGUAAGCCCACACAUCCAACGCAACAUUCUCAUUUUCGCCACCUUCAAUUUUUGGACGUGAAGAUACUUAACUGGCCAACACUCUGUCCCAUACAAAAUUUCAUAUAUAUGAAUAUAUAUAUAUAUCAUGUCAUGAUCGAUUGAUGAACGAUGCAGUCAAAACCUAGCAUAUUAAGCUAAUCAAAUAUAAUUAAUGGAUCACUUAUCUGAGUAUUUAUUAGAAACACAUCGCCUUAUAUUAUUGGAUAAUAUACUUGUGUAGGUAUGUUAUAUAUAUAUAGUACGUAUUUAGAAUUUGAUAAAGUCGAUAGGGUAUGUACAUGUGUGUGUAUGUAUAUAUAUAGUAUAUAAUAUUAUAUAGUGAAGGUAUAUUAAUGACUAAAGAUAAUGUAAUCUAUAAUUCAUCUGAGUAUUUGUGAAAUAUGUUGGAUAUUAUUAUGGGGUAGUAAAAUCGUGUAUGUGAUAUUUAUAGUAUGUAUGUGAAAGCUGAUAGACAAUUGAAUAUAUGUAUAUAUACGUAUAUCUCGUGUAGUGAAGUAUGUAGUAAUCGAAAGCUAGAUAACUGAAUUUAUAUAUCAAAAUAGUUUAAAUGAUACGUUGAUAUAUAUAUAUAUAUAUAUAUCAUAUAAUUGAGGAAGUAGAUAUACUAUUUUGGGUUAAUGUAGACACGCGUAUAUUGUUGAAGUUGUAAUAACAUAAGAGUAGUAUUACGAGGUGUAUAUAUAUAUAUACAAUAUUGUAUUUAAAAGCUAAUUAACCAAAAACUUAUCGUAAUUUAUAAAAUUCAUUGAUAUUAUUAUAUGAUUGAGGAAAUAUACUACUCGUGUUAAUGUGAUGAUAAAAUAACUACUUAUAUGAUUUAUAUAUAUAUGAAUUGUAUUAAAUUAAUUUGAUGUUGUCCAGUUCUCAUACACAGUUUUUGUACUGUGUAUUUAUAUAUAUACGAACUGUAUUAAAUUAAUUGAAUGUUGUUAUAAAUAUUAUAGAAUUUAUUACAAUUUUAAUUUGUUAAAAAAUAAUUUUAAUUUGUUAACUUAUUUUUGUAAUUUAUUAGUUUAUUAAUUGUAUUUUGUUGAAGUCUAAUUUCAAAAAUAUUUUUUUAAAUAUUACGAAAACUGACCACAUGUGGUCGGUUUUCAAAACUAACCGACCACUCUGUAAUUAUUUUUGAAAACCAACCACAUGUGGUCGAUUUUUGUAAUAUUUUUUUAAAAAAAAUUUGAAUAACCCGACCCGACCCAUAAGACAUAAUAAUAACACAAAAACAGACCCAAAACCCCUCAUUUCACCAGUCCAAAAUAGCAAGAAAACGCUAAAACUCUGUAAAUCUCACACUUUAUCAUUAAACCCUUCAAUCUCUGUUGUUCUAUCUCUUUAAAAGAAGUUUUUACUCAACUCCUUGCAUUCACUUAGGCUUUAAUCAAAUUUCUAAGGAACUAUUCCAUCUUAACUUUCAAUUUUGGGCAAGGUAACAAUUAACUACAACUCAUUAACUAAAUUUAGCUUAUUUUAGUAUCCACAAACUCGUUUUUUAAUAUCUAGAAAUGUUAAGGGUCUACAUAAAAAUAUCUUAGUGUUAAUUUCGUCAAUUGGUUGUGGUUUGAGUUGUAGGGUUUGGAUAUUUGUUUUAUUUAGCUAGGUUUUAGCUAAUUUUUGGAAUUUGAGAUUGAAUUAACUAAUUUUAGGCUUGUUCCUACAUUAAUUUGAUUUUGAAUUACCUAAAUUUUGGUUAGUCUUGAAACUUAUUUCUCCAUUUUACUCAUUAAUUGUCGAAUUUUUAUGGGGAGAAAUCUUAUUCCUAUUCCUUUACUAUAUUGUUGUAAUAAUUUAAGUGAAAGAUUAUUCUUUGUAAUAAUUUUACUAUUUGACAGAUUCCAAAAUCGGUAUAAGGAUUGCUUUGCUAUUUUUUUCGGUGACCGCUUGUCUCUUUCACUUUAAUUUAG
Molecule: long non-coding RNA, 79423 nt
Filed under: Capsicum annuum
Lineage: Eukaryota; Viridiplantae; Streptophyta; Magnoliopsida; Solanales; Solanaceae
Description: long non-coding RNA (CANN_LNC017668)
Source: RNAcentral